RNAcentral lists this long non-coding RNA (52793 nucleotides) under Musa acuminata (dwarf banana). RNAcentral describes it as "long non-coding RNA (MACU_LNC001397)". The record is from RNAcentral. Lineage: Eukaryota; Viridiplantae; Streptophyta; Magnoliopsida; Zingiberales; Musaceae.
CUGACUGAUGUGAAUGCAGUUGCUGCGCUUUGCGGACGGCCGACUCCCAAGCCUUAAUGUUGUGCUGCUGCUUCUGCUGCUUCUGCUGCUCCUUCUCCUUCUUGUACAUUAUGUUCCCGCUGCCUCCGCUCCUCCUCCUCCUCCUCCGCCUAUUGCAUCGGCAUCAGAGCCGCGGCCACCACCAUUGCACAUCCCAUGAGUCCUGGCCCGCUCACAUCUCCGGCAACAAAAUGGUGACGGAGAGAGACAUGGGAGCAGACCGAAGCCGAACGAGGUCGGUCAAGGAAGAAAGGGAGAAAUGAGGUGUUGUGGUGGGCUUAUGUUUCUUAUGUUUUCUCACCCCUUUUUUUAGUUCCGAUCAAUGUAAAAUAAAAAUAAGGAAAAAUAAAAUAAAGAAAAGGUAAAAUGGAUUAUUAUUAUUAUUAUUAUUAUUAUUAUUAUUUUGCUGUUGUGUUGGCUGUUAAUUGCUCUGAUAUUAGCAAAUCGUGGAACAAUUGCAGGUUGGGAAGCCUUCGUCAUACGAUAUGAUCCAUUUGUAUUCGUAUUCUCUAUGCUUGGCUUAGGGUUCGUGCGCACCAUUUCGUUACAGGUGAGGGAGCGGCGUGGAUUAUUGUGGCUAUUUUGGCACAGGCGCUUUGACCGCUUCCCACGACAACGCCGGCUCGAUUUUAGAAGGGUUGGCAGCAAACGCGAUGCGGGGCCGUUGGUGGCCUUUGCCACCUUAGCCUUCGAUGGGAGCCGCGAGCAAGAAGUGAGCCACGUUGUUCGUUGACUUUCCUCGUCAACGUUGUCUGAUGCUAAAUUUGGGUCGUCCUCUCGAUGGACCGUUCUAUGUUUCCUCCGAGUGGUAAUACUUUACGGCUUCUUUUUUGGUGAUACGCUCACUUUUUUUAGCUUCUGUUGCUGCCAAUAAACAUCAAUUUAAUUCCCAGUAAAUUUUCUUUUCUACGGAGAUAUCACUAGGAAUGAGUUUGCCAUUCAAGACAAGUUAAUAUUAUUAUUAUUAUUGGUUCCUAGUAAAUUUAUGAGUCUUUUGAUUCACCAAUUUUUCAAUUAAUAUGGAUUAAAUAUUUUUAUCAGUGCUCUCACAUGGAACAAAGAAUUUCUAAGUCCAUCGAAUUAUUUUUACCCUUAGAGAUAUUUUUUUAGAGGUGGGACAUGGAUAAUUCAUCGCGAACCUAUAGGAUCACCAUAAAUAUUGAUUUAUUAGAUUAGCAUUAGAUGAAUCAAGAGUUUAUAAGUUCGUCGAGUCACUCUUAUCCUCAAAAGCGUCUAUAAGGCUCAUAAAUCCUGAAAGAAUAAAACUAUGCUCAAAACGAAUAAUUCCUCGAAUAUCUCAUGAAUUGAUAUUGCUUAUCUUUAUAUUAAUCAUGGCCAAGAUUCCAAUUGGGAUUACGUUCCUAUAUAUAUAUAUAUAUAUAUUGCAUAAGUUGAUUAUCCUUAAAAUAUAAAUAUUAAUUAGUUUAAUUGAUAAAAAAAAACUCUUAUAUGAUAUUGGCAUCUGUUUUUUGCUAUUUAUGUAGUUGACUUUGAAUUGUAUUGAAAGACAUCUAAUUUGUAUUAAAACUAUAUCGAGAGCAUGUGUCUCUUCAAUACCGUAGUUAGUUUGAGAAAUACAAUGAUGAUAGAAUGUAGAAAUAUUAUGUGUAGGAAUGUACUUGAGGAGCUUUUUUUAUAAUAUGAUAUUUUUUAUCAUUUUACUCAUCAAUAAAUAUUUAUGUGGAGCAUGCUACGCUAAAUUUGUAUUAUGUACAAUAAAUAUGAUACGGUUAGUAAUAUUUCAAUAACGAGAUUAUAUCAAUCUGUUAAAAUAUUGAGAUGCAUCAACGAAGCGUUAAUCAUAUAGCACUGAGGUGUCGAUCAUGUAACAUCGAGGUGUUGAUCACGUGAUUAUCGAAGUGUUAGUUUUGUGUCUAAAAUUAUUAUUUUCUUAUCAUAUAAUAAAUAUAUAAAAUAUAAAAAAAAUAUUAAAACAGGGUCUAAAACCAAAAUAGUUUAUAUUUAUAUAUAUUUAUAACAACAAGGUUAAGACUUGUUUAUUUUUGUCUCGUUAUGAUUCAUGAUCGAAAAUGGUGUCUUAAAAUAGCAAUCGAUGCCUGUGAAUUGGUUUUCGGGUCAAUGAUCCGGUCUCCAUCUCUCGCUUGUGAUCCGCGUCAAUGUCAAUUUCUCGAGUCAUAUCUCGAUUUGACUAACCAAACCCAUCGCAUCCCAUCCCAUCCCAUCUGAUUCACUCGCGCCCGCGUAAACCCAUGACACAGGAAGCCACCGACCCAGCUGUCCGCAUCAGAACUAGCUGAGCCCUCAAUGGCGACAGCUGAGACUCAUGCAGACGAUCCACGUGUCUAUCUAACGUUAUCUUCAAAUGUCUUACGUGUUCUCGUCACCAUCGUCACAUACAUAGCCACAAAGAAGAACGACGCCGCCGCGGACAUGGAGACUUCGCAAGGAAAAGAAGAGCCGCAACAGCUGCACAACGAGAAGGAAGAGGACAGGCCCCAGAACCAUGACAGCAGUACUAAUCGGCCAAUGCCUCUCAUGGCGCUCAAUCACGUCUCCAGGCUCUGCAGAUCGGUGGAAGCCUCCGUCGAGUUCUACACCGCCGUGCUUGGCUUCGUCCCCACCGGUCGCCCUCCCACCCUCGACUUCAACGGCGCAUGGUAUCGAAACCCCCUACCCGCUCCACCUCCUCCGCCUUGACCGGUGAAUAGUAAGCAUGUGCGUGAACCAUCAGGCUGUGGUUCAAUUACGACGUGGGAAUUCACCUGGUGCAGGAGGAGGACGGAGGUGACCUCCCCGAUGCGUCCCUUGACCGUCUCGAUCCGAUGGACAACCACAUCUCUUUUCAGGUCUGGCCCUGCUCAUCAUCGCCGUCGUCUUUUUCUUCCUUUCGCCGCUCUUUGCUAGCUUCUCUUCGCAUGCUGCGUUGGUAGUGCGAGGACAUGGGGGCGAUGGAGCAGAGGCUGAAGGAUCUGGGCGUGAAGUACCUGAGGAGGACCAUCAACGAGGAAGAAGGGUCGCCGAUCGACCAGCUGUUCUUUAACGAUCCCGAUGGGUUCAUGAUCGAGAUCUGCAACUGCGAGAACCUGGAACUCGUCCCUGCAGGAUUCCUGGGGCGGUCUACGACCCCCCGCUCAAAAUGAAUCGCUCGGAUCAGACCUCGGAAAUCACGCGCUCGUUAUGGAAGAACGUGGACCGUUAGAUCAAUGAACCUGCUUUUCGACGAACUGUUUAGGAUUUUAAGUGUUUCUUCUGUAAAAUUCUUAUGUAAAUCUUUUCUUUUACAUAAUAAUAAUAAUAAUAAAUCAUCGAUUUCAACUAAAAACACAGGGAAUAAUUAUUAUUUUUCAUUAUUAACUUGGAAAAACUAUAAAUUUCUUCGUCCUUUUAAAAACUAUUUCAUUUUGUACCCUUCCGUGUAGAACAUGACACUUGUGUUCCGAGGUCGACAAAAUAGGGGACGUACAACCAAACUCUCACAAUCCUUUAAUUAAUACAAAAGUAUUGGGACGAUCACACUCGGUCUACUGCAUUCCAGGAUUGGGAUCCUCUCCAACUUUCUAUUGUGGUUCAUCAUUAACAGAGGGUUGAGAUUUUGUUGUUGAGAGAUCGAGGGCGAACGAUGGGGAUGUCUUUAUGAGCUCUGGGUUACGAAAUUGGAGAGGAUCCCAUGCUGCCUCACCAUAGCCAGAGAGUAAAGACGACGGGCUUUGAUCGCUGCGACAGACCGAGCCGCUGUCUCUCGCACGCACAAGCCACCCUCGUUUCCUUCCUCCCGAUCCUUGUCGUGCUUCCGAAGCUUCGUGCGCGCGAACCGGAGAUCUUCCCCCACCCUCUCUCUCCUCCGCUCCGUCCGUCUCGAGAUCCGCGGAAGAAGCGACGGAAGAGAAGCUUGGGCUGCGGCGAGACGGGCGACGGGAUCGGCGGUGGAGAGAAGUCGAGCGCCGUUCCUCCUGCUUCGUCUCUUCCCGAUCCCCGCUUCUUGAGGGGGAAGAAUGGGAUCUAGGGUUUUUGUUGGGCUCUGCUCAUCGCAUUCGCUUUCUUGGUCCGGUUUUGGCGGGAUAUCGAUGUAGGUUUCGAUCUUGGGACUGGGAAGGAGGGUCGGCGGUGGUCCUUGCCUCGAUCUGGAAUGGCGAAUUAGGGUUCGGUUUAUCGGUUGUUUUUGUCGGUCUUAAUUGAAGUGAAAUGGGAGGGAAUUAGGUCUCUUGUUUUGUUGACGUUUUUUGAUCGUUUUUACUUCUUUGAUCGGAAGACGUUGAGAGACUGAGGAACAAAGGUUGGGAAUAGCUGGUUUUUGGUGAUUUCUUGCGUUCUUUCUUGCCGUUGGAAGUGAGGUUGAUGGGGAAUAAGAUAGGGAGGAGGAGGCAGGUGGUGGACGAGAAGUACACAAGGCCGCAGGGAUUGUACCACCACCGCGACAUUGAUGAAAAGAAACUGAGGAAGCUCAUUCUGGAGUCCAAGUUGGCGCCGUGCUACCCUGGAGGCGAUGAAUGCGCUCUCGAUCUUGAAGAGUGUCCCAUUUGUUUUCUAGUUCGUAUUCGACCUUUGCUUUUUCUGACGUUUCAAUCCUGAUUGAUUGCAUUUAGAGCAAUUCUUGAUGUAGUUCACUUGAUUUUCCCUUUUUUGUUGUAUUAUUGUAGAAUUAUCCGAGUCUUAAUCGAUCGAGGUGUUGCAUGAAAGGCAUAUGCACGGGUAAUGCAAAUUUCUCUCUGUUGUUGAAAAGCUUUUUGGUUCAAUCCUUUUUAUCCAUGUUGUCUGUAUCCAUAUUCCUUUUUUGUUUAAUUUUCUUUUAACUUAAAUUUUGAUGCUUCUUGCAGAGUGUUUCCUUCAGAUGAAACCACCUCAUGCAACUCGCCCUACAGAGUAUCCUUUUCUGUUUUAUUUUUUGCUGCAUCAUAAUUUGGAUCAUGCAAGGUUUACUGCUUAACCUGAUAGGUGCCCCUUUUGCAAAACUUUAAAUUAUGCUGUUGAGUACCGUGGUGUGAAGACAAAAGAAGAGAAGGGAUUGGAAGAAGUUGUAAGUUUUUUCUAGUUUGCUCAACUUUUCCCGCCUUCUUUCUUGAUUUGUGAGUGUACAUUUGCUUGUCAAUGAUGUUCGAGUUGUCUCUAAAUAAUUCUGCUUAAGAGCAGGAAGAGCAGAAGUUCAUCGAAGCACAAAUAAGGAUGCAACAACAAGAAAUUCAGGAUGAAGCAGAAAGGCUGAAGAAAAGAAAAGAUAUAAGUUCUCCGAGUAGAAUAAUGAAUGACGCAGAAGUGGAGUAUUGUGACAUAGGUAGCACGUCGCUUUCAGAUCCUCUUUCCACUAAAUAUUCUUGUUUUUGAUUAUUAAACUUCUUUUAUAUUGAUUGCUAAAGUAGGUCUAUGUUUCUUCAUGUUGUAUUGAAAACUCGACAGUUCCGUCUCUGAGAUGCACAACACAAAUAAAUGAUUUUGUUUCAUCUCAAGCUUCGUGCUCGGUGCCGGCAGGCAUGCUGCCUUCACACUGUAGACAGAACAGGUACAAAGUGCACUCACUUGUUUCAGCUUUUUCUACUAAUUUAGUAAUUCUGUUCUGGUAUGGCCAGUGAUUCAUCCUAUUGGAAAACAUAGAUUUCUAACCACUUUUAUGAAGGUGAUAUGGUUUGAUCUUUUUAUCAACUCUCUCGGUACUUGAGUGUUUGUUGUUUACUGCUUCUGUUAACUAGCUCGUAGUAUAUAUGCUUAGGAAACCUUCCACUAAUUAUCAUUUAAAAUUUUCUUUCUUUUGCCUGGUCUCUGAGUUGGUAACUUCUAUGUUCUGGGACUUCUAUUACAUUGUGAAAGUAUUUCUUAGUGAGAGAACAUUCAAAUGCUGGAUUUUGAUUUUGUUUCUUAAUAAUGGGUAAAUCGGAUUCUUGAUUGCUGCCUACCCUUGCUCAUAGACUUGGUUGACUUGAGGUUCUGAAUUGGUCAUUAAAUGCUUACAAACAUAUCUCAAGUAAUUAAAGCAUAUAGAUUGAGCUUUUGAACUGUUGAAUCUGGUGCAUGAUGUCAACACUCAACAGUAGCCAUAUCUUAGCUUGUUGCCUUGUUAUCUUUUUUUAUUGGCAAUAUAAAAUUCUGAAUGCUUGUUUUCUUUUAUUGUCUCAGGCAUUCCAAAUUUAUAUGCUUAUAAAGUUAUACUAUUUGCCAUAUCUCGUUCAUGUUUUUUAAUCUAGUUCACAUUCAACUUGAUCAAAUGUAUUUCAUCUCAGUCCAUCUUAUGAAAUUGUUGUAAACUCUUAUGGAAUCUUACAAGAAUAUAACAGAUCAAUAGUCUCCCCCAAGGGGUAACAUUUGAGUACUCCAUUUUGGAGUUUGGCCCAUGUGACUUUGGAUUGAGUUAUGACAAAUAUAAGAGAAAAAAUUGUUUAUGAUAUGUUUGCACAUUGGGACUGAUUAUUCUUCCCGGUGAAUCUUCAAUCCAAUGGGUAUGCGCACCAUGGAUGGUCUCGGUGGUGUGGUGAGCUAUGUCAUCUCCCGAAUUCCACAUCACCUAAAAUAGAUCUUGAUAGACUUCUACGGAAUGUAUGUGUAUGUGAUAAGGACAUUGGGUAUUUGACUCGAGGAGAUUGUGAUACCCCAACAUAAUUCAACACCUAUCACCAUCCGCCCCGUUGGAGAACCUUCUAAGCACUCCUUUUUGGAAGGUUUGACCCAUGUGGUUUCAAGCUCUGGUCAUUACAAAAACUGCUUGUGGCCUUACUUAAGAGCAUAUAAUUUAAUUUUUUAUGAUCAAUGGCAAGCUACAAAACUAAAAAGUGCAAUUUUUGGUCUUAAGUCCAAUGGGUACACAAAACUAAAAAUUCUUUUUCCUUUCUUUAAUUUUCAUAACUGUAAACUACACACGAUGGGCAUGCAGCUAGGGAGGCAUUUAUAUCUUAUGGUUGGCAUGUUCUCGUUCAUUUGUCAUCUUAUCUUUAUUUGGAACUUUGUACAAUGCAGAGCUGACAAUUUUGACCGUGAUCUUGAUGACAUUAUGGUCAUGGAAGCUAUCUGGCUUUCUAUUCAGGUAAUAUAGGUUACUAGUUAUAGUUAAAUUGCAGGAACUUGAUCCAAAUGAGUUAAUACUGGGAGUAAUAUUACACAAAAUUUGUGGCUUUUCUUAAAUUAUUCUUAAUUGUUUAUCCUUGAAUUAUGAGGUAAGUUUCAUGCAAUUUGAAACAGUGUUCAUUCAUAACAUGUUCAGUAACUUAUCAAUUUAAUGUUUUAAAUCAUUAUAUUAUGCCCUCAAUUUUUUUUUCAUCAUGCUGCUUGGUUUUGAAGCUUUUUUUUGAGUCUAUUAUUGCUAGUUUCAUGAGACUGCUUUCUCUUUGAUAUUGUGAUAUGGCGCUUUUGAUCCUAGAAAUGAUAUUGCCUCUAAUAAUGACACAAAAUGUAGAUGCUGGUUCUAUAUAUAUAUAUGUAUAUAUAUAUGUAUGUAUGUAUGUAUAUAUAUAUAUGUAUGUAUGUAUGUAUAUAUAUAUAUAUAUAUAUGUAUGUAUGUAUGUGUGUAUGUAUGUAUGUAUGUAUAUAUGUAUCUGUAUAUAUGUAUGUAUAUAUAUAUAUAUAUAGACAACAAUCUGUGACUUGGAUCAUUUAGAGCUGGAAUUGCAGCAAGCUUGUAUUAUUCGUCUAAAUACAAUUAGCAUUUUAUAUUGAAUAGUAAUGGCAAUAUGAAGCUUAGGACCCUGUACUGAUAUUCAUGCCCAAAUUUUCUAAGAAUGGAUUGACACUCUAAUUUGUUGAUUUUUUCAAGACACUUAAACAAAGUUCACCAAAUAUAUUAUUGAUGAUUUGAGGAAUAACAGAAAGGAGACUAAUCUUCUUCUCUUUGCUGUAAGAUAUGUUAUUGUUCUAUCUGAACUUAGUCCUAGUCAUACUUUAAGAUAACACCAAUCUCUCGCAAUACAUGAUGUAAUAAUGCUUUCCAGGAUGAGGCUAGUUAAAAAUGUAUGGUCAGUCAUGCAUUUUAUUCAUGUGAUUCUAUUUUCUGUUUGCUUUGUUUUCUUUUAUUUUACUUCAUCAUGCUUUCACUAUGCUGCUAUUGUCAAAGGUACUUACUGUUCUAUUAGGAUACACUUUCCUUUGCCCAGUCGUAUUUACCCCUCUUAGUAUGAGCCUUGUGUUCUAGGCAGUCAGGUGGGUGCAAAAGCUAGAAUCUGCAAAAUCACUUAACAGCUUGACGUUGCCUGUUGUUUUAGACCAUGUAAGAGCACAUAAGCAUCAGGAUUUCCCAUUUGGUUGAACUGACUGAGACUCAGCUCAUUUGAGACAGGGAAACUACUGGGAGGAGUCCUGUUGUCUUGAUGGUGCUAUUUAAUAACCUCAGUGAGCAAUGGAUUUUACUUGUAUUAGAGAAGUUACUAUUAAUAGGUUAUCCAAUCUAGUGUGUGCUAAUUCUCAUCGUCUGUGCAAUAUAUACUAGACGAAAACUUAUGCAAUAAGGACAAAUUUAGUCUUCUUUAACAUUCAAUCUUAUUGAAAUCUCAAGGUUUUUUGUGUAUCAGAUAGGACAUAAGAUUCUUUUAAAAAAGUUGUUCCAGACUUUCAAUUAUUCAAUUUUGAACCUUCAUGUGCCAAAAUAAUUAUUUUUGGAUGAGCCAUCUAUUUUCUCAAUUUAUGAGAAUUGGGAAAUUACGGUUCUUCCUGCUGUUACAAAUUUACACAUUGCUAAAGGUUAUUGGAUUUGAUCAAGUUUGGAUGUUACAUAAGCAACGAAGAGUUGUAGUUUGACCCCUGCAUCAAUUGAUCGGUCCAUAUUGAUGAAGUCAAAAUUAUCACUUCGAUUGAGUUGAGGGAAUGUUUGUUAUCCAGUCUAUCUUUUGUUUAUGCAAUAUGUUUGCUCUAGUUUUGUAUACUAUUUAGGUAUUACUCCAUUUCGUGACUUUUCUUUGUGCUUUGUAAUAUCUGUCAGAGAGGGUCCAUUAUGUUUUGCACAAUGUUUAUAUCCCUUCGUGUUUGGAUAGGAGUCCAACCAAAGAGGAUUCCUUAGAUUUUCUACAGGGUAGUUGAAAGAAGGAAUUCUACUUUGUUGUUUAAUCAGUAGUUUGUUCCUUUAAAAUUGUUUCUUUUGAUGAUCAUGAAAAUCUACCAGGCAUAAGUGGCUGGUGAUUUUUUUCAUCUGGAGAAAACACACACACACACAUAAAUAUAAAUAUAAAUAUAAAUAUAUAUAUAUAUAUAUACAUAUACAUAUACAUAUACAUAUACAUAUACAUAUACAUAUACAUAUAUAUAUACAUAUAUAUAUACGUACAUUCAUAUAUAUGCAUACAUAUAUACGUANNNNNNNNNNNNNNNNNNNNNNNNNNNNNNNNNNNNNNNNNNNNNNNNNNNNNNNNNNNNNNNNNNNNNNNNNNNNNNNNNNNNNNNNNNNNNNNNNNNNNNNNNNNNNNNNNNNNNNNNNNNNNNNNNNNNNNNNNNNNNNNNNNNNNNNNNNNNNNNNNNNNNNNNNNNNNNNNNNNNNNNNNNNNNNNNNNNNNNNNNNNNNNNNNNNNNNNNNNNNNNNNNNNNNNNNNNNNNNNNNNNNNNNNUAUAUUUAUAUAUAUGGUUGAAAGGUUCAGCACAGUGGCUAUGGAAAUAGAGAUUCCUGUGCAAUAACAUGUGGAUUAUUGAUUUUGAAGCUCGACAAUUCCGCAUCAAAUGGUGCUUAUAUAAAAGCAACAAGCUGAGAGGAGAGUUCUGAGCAGAUGUCGUGGCAUGUUAAUAGCACAACCACUUGAUCUAGCUCAUGGAUGGGUGUGGAACUGAAAUGAUGAAACUAAGGCUUUGGAGUUCCACUCUAAAAUGGGAGAUCAGUUAUAUAUUCUUGCACUUGACUCUGCGUUAUGUAUGUGUCAGAAGUCAUGCUUUUCUGAAUGAGUCUGGGUAGUCUAGCUAGUAUUGAUUGAAUACAAUAUAUGUUAUGUUAAUCAUUGAUUGUAGUAGUUUCUUCCCUGAGUUUAGGUAAUUUUAUAGGAUUUUCAUCAUAGUCCAUUUUUCUAUUAAAGAAGGUCAAGUUUGUAUUUAAAAUUACAUUUGGAUAGAAAUCCAACUAAAAGAGGCUGCUAGAUACUAUUUGGAUUGGUUUAGGUCAUGAUUCGUCUUAUCGGUCCACACCGGUGUACCGGCUAGUUAUCGGUACGGUAUAUACCGAACUGUACCGAGCAUACCAGCACAUGGUAGAUGAGGUCAUACCGAUGUAUCACUUAUACCAGUCCCAUGUUACACCAGUAUGUACCACUUGUACUGAGCGGUAUAUCAUGGUACGGCAAACCUUGGUUUAGGUUGUAUUUGAUGUCCAGCUGAUAUGUGCUAAAGAGGAAAUCUUGACUGCAAUAUCAGAUGUAUCUUUAAAUUGUCUAAAUUGGCUGCCUGUCUUAUGAGUUGCCUUUUCCUCAAUUUGCAUCACUUUCUCUUUUGUUUCAUUCUAGUUUCUCUAUUUUCUAUGUGUGCCUGUUCAUUAUUAUUCAACUGUUUCUUUUCAGUCUGGAAGCAAAGCUGAAGAGCACGAUUUAUAUUGAGACAUUCCUGUCUGAAUUGCAUGACCUGAACAAACAUGGCUAUACCUUAUGCCCAAACGCAAGGCAACAGCAUGGAUUAGAUGCAGGGUUUAGGUUUUAAGGGCACAGUUGUUCUUUGAAAGCAGAUAAAUAGAAGGAGAAAGAGAAAGAGGAAGAUAAAAAAGGCACAGAGGAGGAGGAUAUAAAAAAAUAGUCCUGGAUUUACAUUGGGGUGGUAAAAAAUAUUAAAAGGAACUUUGGGGAGGUUCAACACAUCAACAUGGCUCACAUGAGGAAGAAUGGAUGUACCUUUAGGAUCACAAGAUGUCAUGGUCCAGGAGUAAAUUGUCAUCUAUAUUUUGUGUCAGAGAUGAUUUUUAAACAGGAAUAAGUGGAUUAUAUUCUUGAUUAUUUUUUAAAUUAUAGCAAAGUUUGGCUGUGGACAGGUCUUAAAUAUAAAUGUGCUCUAAUUUUCCAUUUGUUUUUAUCCUUGUUUCUCUAGAGGUUCUCGCUUCCUGUCCAAUAUUUGCUCUUUUGUUUUUUGCUGUUUUCCAAUUGAAUCACUCAGAAAGUCCCUUUACUGUCCAGAUCCAAUGUAUCUUGACUCGUUUGACCAUAGGAACAUAGGCUGCCUUAGAAAUCUCAACCACUGCCUUGGUGCAGAGCUUAUCAACUGCAACCCAGACAUUAUGGGGUCAAUUUUUCAAAACAGCCUCUCAUCAUGCAUGGUUAAGGUUGUGGGAAUGUAAUAAAUACACUGUGAUGCCAGAGGGAAAUGAGCUUUGUGCACUAGGCUGCCAUUUUAGAAACCUAAUUUCUGCAUGCUUAGGUGCAUGCCUAUGCAUUAGUGAGUGUUCAUGUGGUGUUCUUUAUAUGUAACUACUAUGCUAUUUUUGAUGUUUUCUUAGAGAUAUUAUAAAAAACAUCAUCUGUUUGCAUUAUUAGACACAGUUUGGAUUAAGUUAAAUAUAAAGGUAUCACGAUAUAAUUUUCAUUAUUCAUGUUUAGAUAGGAGAAAGUAGAAUAUAUUUCUCAUUGUUUAUCUUUUUUUCAGAACCCAAUAUCUAAUUUGGCAUUUCACUUUGAUCAGGAGCAUGGUCAUCAAGGAUAUCCAGUCUAUCUCGGAAGUUUUUUCCCUGGACCAUCCUUUUCAGAAGAAUGUUACAGUUCCCAUGGAAUAGCUCCUCCAGAAGUGUCACCCUAUAGUGGGUUAGCUUGUGCAGCUUCAGCUCUAAAUGAGCACCAGCAUAUUUAUGUGGAGUCUAGUGCUAAUAUAUCCAGUAGUGCCACCUCAAUGUUGGACAUGCUUCAUCAAUCAGGCAGUUUAGGAAACAUGAGGUUUAUGCAGAAUAAUCCUUCAAGUUACUGGAAUGAGAUACCACCAGAUAGCGGAAGGGAAGUACUGAGGGAGGAGCUUGGUGAGUGUUCGACUGAUCAUUGGUCAGACAUGUCUGAGGCAGGGACCAGCUAUGCUGGUUCAGAUGUUAUGGUAGAUCCACGGACUGCAGUGAUUCCAUUCCCAAGUGGUGCUAUCAUGACUCCGGGACAUUUCGCUCCCGAGAACUUUGAAGAGCAAAUGAUUCUUGCCAUGUCGGUGUCAUUAGCUGACACUCGAGCAAGGAUGCCUGCCCAAGGACUGACAUGGCUGUAAUGAUGAUGAUUUGCCCUAAGAAAUUUCUUUCCGAUCCAUUUGUUUUUCCUUUUUUUUUUUGUCUCCUUUUGUCUGUUGGUUUGAUGGUUCUUUCAUUUUUAGUUGGUUUCCUGUAUACAUGUGAAGGUGACACUUGUAUGGAUGGUGGGAAAGAUGGUGCAUAGAAUUGAAAGGCUAAUAGAAUAUGCAUUAGUUGACUCUUAUCUAAUGUAAUUCAAAGGCUAUUAUUGCUUUAGUUAGAAAAUAUAAAAUCAGGUAGUAAUCUUUAUAAUUCGUGCACAUUCGUUAAUUGCAUUCUUUGAUUUCCCAAUACUUGAUUUCCUGUUGUUUGGCAAUGUAGGAUUGUUGAGGUUGUGGCAUUCAUAUCUAGUCUUUGAGGUUCAUGGAUUUUGCCAGCCGCAGCUGAUGCGAAUCACCAAACCAGUUGGCUUGCGGUGUCAUAAUUUUUGCUAUGUAGGCAGCUUUCAUAAUGAAUCUGAGCAGUGGUUUUGCAACUGCUGCAGCUUGAUGCUUGUGGGAGCUUCUGUUGUUGCUAGUGAUGCAGCCAUGAGAACGGAAGUUUCAAUGUACUAUGUAUGGUACAUUGUAUGUACCAUACAUAGUCAUACAUGCAGUGAGGAAGAAUACAAUCCAGCAAUAAAUUGUUAUGUACAUAUUAUGCAUUACGGAACCAUGGAUGGCUAUGUUCCCAGAUUAGCAUCUUGCAUCUGAUACAUCAACCAUUAAAAAUAGUCAAUGCAUAAGGAAUCAAGAAGCUAAGAAACAAGUAAUGGUAACCCCAUAUAGUUUAAAAGGAUCACCACGUAACACCCAUCCAUUCAAUACACGAGCUUACAGGGAAAAGCGAAGUGGUAAGAGUAUAUUAUAAUCCCUUCCUGUGAGUACUCUUUUCUGAAAAAUACAGUGCCACGGCAAUUUCGAGGUUGGAGCAAUAACACGCAUAAUAAAAAAAGUUGGUGCAUGUCGCUCUUGAUUAAUAUAUGGAUCGAAUUGAUGCACAUAAAACAAGUAGGACAAUUAGAUCUCGCGUGCUCAUAAUAUGAAAAAGGGAUCCAACAAGGAUGUUUUUGGAACCUUACAAGAGUUGCAACUGGGGAUUAUUGUUUGCUUCUUCGCUUCCGAACAAAAACACCAUUCUUUCUACAUUCUUGCAUCAUUCAUUAAAUGUAUUUGUCUUUGUCUACGCUGACUGAGGGAUACAUAAAUCGUCUUUCCUUGCUUCCUAUACCUUGUUUUAGCACUGAUUCAUCGAAGAGGGCACGGAAGGAAAGCCAUGGAUGCGUGUAAAAAGCAGAGCGAGGGAGAGGGUGUGUUGGAGAUUUCCAAUAUAUUAUUGCCUUUUUGUUUCUUUUCAUAUGCUAUUUGAUGCUAGUGGGUAAAACAGCUAGCCAGAUUGAGAGAGAGAGAGAAGAGAGAGAGAGAGAGAGAGAGAGAGACUGUGAAGGGUACUGCUUAGCCAGUGAGCCGCAGAACCAGCUUGGAGGAAAAGCGUCUCUUUGAGAUGUUUUAAGUAUGACUAUCACAUGAGACAUUGGGUGAAUCCUGGGAGGAUGCCCCAGAUUUGUUUUCCUUCAGAGGUAAGGGGGAAAGAUGCCUCAUUUUCCAGUUAAUGCCAUUUUUCUCUCCAUUGGACUGCAAUCUGUUAAAAAUGCCAGGUUUUUGGGUUCUUUUUUCAUCGAUGCGUCCAUCUCCUUAACUUUUUUGGUUUAUUUUUUUCUUCUUUUCCUUUUUGUGACGCUCCCCUUACUCGAGUUGUGAUAAAGGAGACAUUUUUUCUCAUGAAUGGCCUGGAAUGCUGGAUGCUGUGUGCAUUUUGUGGAGAAAUUGCCAAAAGUGCAGGCAUGCUGAGGUGGGGUUUCCUUGCUCAAGAGGCGUCAAAAGUACUAGAUUUCAUGUGAGAUUGUCGGUAGUCGGUCUUUGAUUUGAUUCAUUUCUGCUAGAGACUGUAAAACAGGGAUCUUGGUGAGGUGCAAAUGGCCCUUUCCUUUAAAUAUUCCUUGCUUCCCUCCCUCCAGGUUUGUUGUUCUGAAUCAUGAUUGAUGCCAUUGUGUCUCUUUCUCGAUAUCUUGCGUUUUGACUGCUAGGGAAGAUUUUGGUCGAGGUGGAGUGAGUAUUAGGGUUUCAUUCUCGAUAUCUUUUUUCUGAGGAAAUUUCAUUAGAGAAUAGGGCUUAGGAAGGGCUUUGCUUUUUGUGAUACCUCUUGUUUUCAUUAACUUGAGGUGUUAUUCGUGAUCUGAUCGUGUACUCUACUUGAAUAUUGAUUUUUAAUAUCUGCAGUGCACUGUUUCUUUGUUUCUUGGUUCAAAAGCUUGAAGAUAGGAUCUUUAAGGUUGCUUUGUCUCUUUUGUUUGUGCAUAUUUUCAAGUUAAGAUGCAUGACGCUUUGUCUUGAAAUCUUACAGCAAAAAUGCCCCUCCAACGAGAUCUCAUAAUGCUGCUUUGCCACAUUCAGGUCUUGUCUUUCUGACUUAUAUUGUUUCUUAUAUUUCCCCUCAGUUCUCCUUGCCUUUAUUUUCAAAGGGAAUUUUCCACUGGACCUGAUCUUUCUGGUUAAAUUAGCUGAGUUAAAUUUGUAAACACAACUUGUUUCUUCUUUAGAAUGAAAAAAAAAAAGUUUGCUUAUUUUUUGUUGACAGAAGUCACAGUGAAUGCAGGAACUGUAGGCCUUUUGGUGUCUUGAAAUGUAUUCUCUCCUUGGAGCAAUUUAGGGCACCAAAUUUAUGCUUUAUAAGCAUAUCUCUUUCAGAGAAAGGCGAACUCUAUUAUCUUCUAUUGAAAUAAAGAUGAAACAUAUGGUUAGAUCAAUUCACAUGAAUCUGCCUAUGUAGCACAUGUUGAAAUUGGACAUGAGUGUGUUGGUGGGGACAUGCUUCAGCCAAGGGAAGCUGACAUACCUGCACUUUUCAUUUUCCUGGUCUUGAUUCCACUUUUCACUUAUAUCUUACUUGGGAGAUGGAACGAGGCGGCUAAGAAGAAGGCUAGGAUAAGUAUACUUGCUCAGCUUGCUGCUGAAGAAGCUUUCCAAGUAGAAGCAAUGGCAUCUGCCAGUGUCCUUCAAGUUUUGCCAUCUUCAAGAACUGGCUUUCAUGAAUGCACUAGAUGCUUUGCCCCUGCUACAACACGCUGCUCCAGAUGCAAGUCGGUCAGAUACUGGUACAAUAAUAUAACAUUUCAUGGAUUUCUUGUGUUGUUCUCAUUGAUAAUCUCUGAUACUUUUUUCUUAUGUUUCUGAUCAUCUAUAUAUUAUUUGCUGAAUUAAGAACAUUUUGCUUCAUGAAAAGCUGUUAAGGUAUGCACUGAAGAUUUUCUUUGAUUUAGUUGAUUUUCUAGCUUGUUGAUUUAACAUGCGGAAAAGGCUAAAACCGUCGGGAAUACUUAAUAAACAUAUUAUAUUGGAUUAUGAAAUUCAUUUAGUAAAGAUUGAUCCAGAAAAUGUGUUUUUUGUUUCCCAUUGUGACCCAGCUGUUAAGAAUUGCUCCAUUGCUGAUGGUCCGUGGUGGUAAACUUUUCCUACUGGUCCCUAUUGUUAUAAAUUCUUUCCUCUUCUCUUCCCUCCCCUUCCUCUAAUCCCUUUUUUCUUUUUUUUUUCACUUCUCAAAGAAUAAGAUUAGCCAUAUUGGAAAAUAUCAGCCAAUCCUAGCCCGCCCUAGGUGAAUUAUACCAGUUCUAGUUCAACUUUGUUUCAUUACCAUGAUUCCAAUAUAGAUAUGACAACAUGGCUAAAAAUUUAGUCAAAAAUUGAAUAAGAUUGGCUAAUUCUGGAAUAGGUUGGCUUUUCAUGUAUUAGGUAUCAUUUGGGUGCAAAUUUAAAGGUUAAUUUAUUGAGACGGUCUUAAGAAAUUUUGUGGUUGAAUAGUGUACACAGACACUAUGAAGUAUGUAUCUGUAAUAGACAUGUAGUAAAAAUUAAUAUACUCCUCGCAGUUAUUUGUUGACUUCACAUGGAAAGCAAAAUUAAUAGUAUCAUGUAAAUAAAAUGGUACUUUCUUCUCUAAAGCUGAUCGUGGAUACACUUGCUUGUAUUUGUCGUCUUUUAUGCUGUAAUUAAUCCUGCCAUAUUAAUGGAUUCUAAUAAGCAGCUUAUAUUAUUUUGGCAUCUCCUGUUUUCAGUUCUGGAAAGUGCCAAAUAAUUCACUGGAGGCAGGGGCAUAAGCAUGAAUGUCAACAAUGGCAUGAUAGUUCCUUGGAUGUUUUGGCUGGCCUACCUCUUAAAGAUACAGUUCGGCAUAAGUCUAUCUUGAAUAACUCAAAAUCAUCUUACCUUUGCAAUGGUAUUGAAGAGCCCCUGCAUUACAAUAUUCAAAAUGACAUGGAUGAUCCUUCCUUUAUUAGCACUGACACAUCCGAAGAUUCAGAGACUGGAAGGAAGUCAUCAAGAAUGGGUGUUGUUAAUAAAUCAAAAAAAGAUAAAUCUUAUGGCGAUGAUUACACUGCAUGUGCAUUUGAUCAAGACCAUGACCAUGAUGCUUGUGCUCAAGCCUUGUUGACCAACCAUUUUACUGAGAUUUCUUCAGAGGAUGCUCCUAAAGGAUCUAAGGUGUGAGUUUGUAUCGUAUGUACUCAUAGUGGGCAAGAUUAAUUUCUGCUUUUGGUUUCACUGUCUUACUGAUGUGCUUGUGUACCAAUGGUUUCAGUUAGCAAAUCGAAACUCUACUGUUUCGCCCUGUCAAAUCCAUAUGAAUCAAGAGACCAACAUCUCAUCUAAUGCCAGAAGUCCGAUGGUCCAGCACAAUAAAUCAGCUGCCGAAACAAGAAAGGGACUGGAACAAAGUGGUUCCACUGCAACAUCAUCUCGGUUACAUUCGGAUAAACAUGUGAUAAGUGAAUGCCAAAAUGGUGCAAAUAUCAGUCCAGAGAAAGCAGAUUUUUCUGAGUCUGGUUUUUCUUCUUCUAAUGAAAAAUUUCAUGUCAGUUACCCUGCUGAACACUAUUCAGCCAAAGAAAGCAUAAUGUACAGGAAACCCCCCUACACUCUUGGGCACACAGCUUCCUCGUCACAGAAGUUAGCAGAGAACAUGUCGAGAGGAUACCACUCUCAAAGUUUAGGAAAAAUUUGUGACAAGGAAAAUGGAUCUGGUAGGAUAAGAGAACUUGUUGUGAAACUUUAUUAGACUUGUACACUUUUCCAUUGUAUGCUCCUGUUCUGCUUUUGCUUUUUCUUCUUAUUUCUUAAACCUUGUGCAGGAAUCCGACAAAAGAAUAUAUCCUCGAACAUCCACAUACGGGGCCUCAGUGGGAAUGCAAGCAUUGAAGGGAUUAUGGCAGGCUCAAAGAAGAAUCCAAAAGCGCUCAAACGGAAUCUUCUUUUAUUGUUGAAUGACAAUAAGAAGAACAAGGUCUAUUUUCUAGACUUGAAACCAUGUAUUACAUUUGACAAAUAGAUCUCUGCUUUUCAUGUUCUGCAAUUCCAGGUUUGUCAAAUGUUAUUUCCUUACGAAGAUCUUGUUAAGUUUUUCCAAUGUGAAGAGUGGCGGAUAUCUCCUAGGGGGCUUCUUAAUUGUGGAAAUAGGUAUGACUUAGUAAGUUGAAUGUUUAUUUGUAAUAGGCCUACCAUUUAUGAAAAUGAGGUUGUGACAUAUUUCAUUAUUCUGUAUUCAUAUUAUGAGGGAUUGCUUUUGUGGCUUGCUAAGAAGCAAGGUUACCCUUGUAAGUUUUGUAAAGAUUGAUUUUGUCAUCUGACAGCUUAAAUUAUUAUGGUAUACAAAAAAUAUCAUUUCUUUUUUAGAGUAAAUUAAGAAAAUAAGAGGAAAUCAUGCCAUGUAAGGAAUGCAUACUCUUUGCUUCCUACACUUAAAAGUAUUCAUCGUAUUAGCCAUGAAAUCAUUGUUUUUCUCAAAAUUUUUAUGCAAUAAUUGUUGUUUUUCUUAGUGAUUAUGUUAACUUAUUCCCCUUUAGCCAAAGCAGUGAUUUAAAAAGCGCUAGGCAUCAAGGUCCAAAAAUGCCCGAGGCGCUAAAAUAUAAAACUAUAUAAUAUAAUUAAUAAAUAUAAUUAUUUAAAAUUUUAAAUAAAAAUAUGCUAUUAAAUUAAUUUGAUAAAUACAAAUACUAUUACUAGUAUACAGUUAACAGUAUACUACUGUAUACUGUAUAUUGUUAACAGUAUACUAUCGAAAGAGGAGAAGAGUGUAAGGGAAGAGUCGGAAGAUCGAGGGUGUUGACUGAGAAGAGCGGGAGCGGCAACUGCGAGCGACGACAGUGGCAGCGACAGUGGCAGCACAAUAGCGGGAGCGGCAAGCGGCGACAGUGACACCGUCAACAGCGAGCGGCGGGAGUGGGAGCGGAAGCGGCGAGCGGAGACAGUGGCAACGGUAGUAGCGGCAACGGGAGCAGGAACGACGACAGCAGCAGCGGCAGUAGCGUGAACGGCGAGUAGGGUUAGGGUUGGGGAAGUCACGUUGAUAUCGGUGCUUUAGUUGGUUCGAUUGAACCAACUAAAGCACCGAAGACCGAACCAGACCUCAAACGCUGGUUCGGUCGCCUGGUUUAACCUAAGCGCUCACCCAAAGCACCCGGCGCCUAGGCUCGAGCGAGCGCCCAGGCGGCGCCUCUUUGAAGCACGCCGCCUGGAAAUGAAGCGAGGUGCUCGGGCCUCGCCUCGCCUUGCCCGAGCGCCUAGGCAAGCGCCCUAGUGCCUUUUUAAAUCACUGAGCCAAAGAAACCUUAAGUUUCUUUUGAUGGGAUGUGGUUAUCUGAAAAACCUAUUUCAAGGGUGUGGAGAUCUGUUUAGAUUUUAAAAUUUUAAAGCAACAUCAUUUCAAAUUGUUAUUGCUACAUGUUUUUCCUGAUCAGUAUUUAUUUACAUGGUUUAUAUAUUACUUUGGAGCUAGCCGCAACUGAUCUAAUUGGAAAUAGACGUUUUUUUUUUUGCAUUACUUGCUUUUUGUGUCUUUUUAUUUUCUUAUUUUCUUGAAUUUUUUGUGUUCCUUUUUUUCGUGCUUUAAUAUUAUUGGUUUGGUAUUCAUUUUGCUAAAGUCCUGAUCCCUUGGUUCAAAAGCCUAAUCCAGCUUAUCUCGGUUUCGAUUUGAUUUUCUAUGCUAUUGCUACUGUUCCUGGUAUUUUAAUGGAGUGUUCCUGUAGUUGGACUGUCUAUUGGAAUGAAUAUAAAAAAGACGAGCUCGGUGUGUGAGGCUUUUAUCAAUACGGGGUCUGGGGAGGGGUAAUAUAUGUGGUAUAUAGCCUUAUAGAGGCUGUUUCUGAGACUCCUCCCAGAGCACAUAGGAGUAAACCCUCUUGUUGGAAUGGAUAUCUCAUAGCGAAAAAAUUGAUUUGUUUAUGGCUGUUUGAACACUGAAAUCAUUGAAUUCCUUGGUUAUUCAUCUAAUGGUCCAUGCUGUCAACGACAACUCGUGGAAAUCAGUGUUUGCAUUUUCACCAGGAUUUAUAGUUAAUUAUUUCAAAUUGUAUCCUUGUUUGAUUCUAUAGCUUGUCCGAGUUUAGGUCACCUGUUCGGCAAAUGUUAUAUAUCAUCAUGACAUCUGAUCACUGUAUGUAUGCAUAUGAUAUAUGUCCUUGUCAAAUGUUCAACUAAAUGAUUCUAGAAUUAAUGAAAGCAUAAUUUUGUGGUUUAUAGGUGAGUUUUACGUUUUAAAGGACAAUUUGUGAUAGCAUGCAUUACUUGUGGAGUAGUGAUCAUGGAUCUCUAGGUUGCUACAUACAUGCAUUUUUAAAUUUGUUCAGCCUGUGGCAUUUAAGACACUCGAGGACAUGAGAACAUGCCUUGCAAGGGUAAGGAGCAUCAAUGUAGCAACUUGGUGAACUGUGUAAAUUGUGUCUGAUCUAUUGUAGUUCAUGUGUUUGAGAUAACAAUUUAAGUGAGUGACACGUACUAAGAGGAGAAAAAUAAGUAAUGGGUUUGUGUUUUAUUUAAAUGUAUCAAUUUGUAUAUGUGGUUUUUGAAGACACUACACCGACAGUAUGAACCCAACAGCUUCUUUACUUAUUCUAGUCUAUCCCAAAAUCAUAAUGCACUUUAAUGAAUUACUUGUUCUCUUUUAGGAUCCUUCUCUAAAGCAUCUCUAACUUUUAUAGCUUUGUAUUUAUUGCAGUUGCUAUGCUAAUGCUGUUUUGCAAUGUCUGACUGGCACCAAACCUCUCAUGGUCUACCUACUUCAGAGAUCACAUUCAAGAACCUGUAAUUCUGACUCGUCUUUGCUCUUAUGAGCAAAUAUUAUGAGAGGUUUUAUCAUUUUAUCUGGAUAUCUUCUGCUAAAUUAUUCUGCAUUUUUAGGUUGUGUCAAGGAGUGGUGCCUCAUGUGUGAACUCGAGCAACAUGUUUCAAUGUUGAAGGAAGGAGGUGGUCCUUUGUCUGCCAGUAAGAUCCUUUUGAACAUGAGAAAUAUUGGGUGUCGCAUGGGUGGUGGAAACCAAGAGGAUGCACAUGAAUUUCUCAGGUGUACCACAUAAACAUGGCACUCAUUUGGUUCUUAAUUUGUUACUUUACAAAUUCCUUUCAUAUCAGUUACUUUAGAAUAGGGGUACAAUACUCUGGGCAAGAUGUGGAUCUUCAUCCUUAAGAAGUGAUAAUAAGUUCAUGCCUGAUCUGUUCGAGGAUGCUGAUCUGUUCCCAGCCUGCAGAUGGCUUAAUCUUUGAGCCAAGCUAUCCCGAGUAGCUAUCAUUUAUUUUAAUAACUUCAAAAUAAGCCCUAGCCUGAGCUAAAUACAUAUCAAGGAAUCCAGUUAGCUAGCUUAAUAGCAGGAAAUGACUGCCUGAGGCCAGUUUUUUGGGGCCUGAAUCAGAUUGGGUACAGGAUUAUGCUUUCCAGGCUGAUGGCACCUCUUUUUGUAUUCUAUUCAGCUUCAUCUCUUCACAAUUCAUAACAACUAGUUUCUAAAGUCAUCCUGUUACUGAUGCAUCUUGAUACAAAACAACCAGGCUUCUAGUUAUGUCCAUGCAAUCCUGUGUGCCUUGAAGGACUGGGUGGUGAGAAGGAAGUUGAUCCAAGGUUGCAAGAUACAACACUUAUACAACAGAUAUUUGGUGGUCGCCUCAAAUCAAAGGUGACUGACUUUGACUUUGCUGCAAAAUCAUUUUGCUUGCUUAGCACGAUCUUCUUACUCUUAAUUGUAAAGGAUAUUUGAUACUAACUAGUGUACCUAAUUGUAUCAAGGUCAAGUGCCAAAGAUGUCAUCUUGAGUCUGAAAGAUAUGAGAGCAUUAUGGAUCUUACACUGGAGAUACAUGGCCGGGUUGAAUCACUGGAAGAUGCUCUCACACAAUUUACUGCUCCGGAGGAUUUAGAUGGGGAGAAUAUGUACAGAUGUGGAAGGUUCAAUCAAUACUCCAAAUUUGCCUAUCUGAUUCCGUUAGUUGUUUGUCACUGCUGAUUCUAUCUUUGAAUUUGAAAAAUAGGUGUUUGGCAUAUGUUGAAGCCAGGAAGCAGUUGAGUUUACAUGAGGUCCCCAACAUACUAACUAUAGUUUUGAAGAGGUUCCAGGUAACAAAUUGACUAGGUGGACUUGUUUAAGCUUUAAAAUGGUUUCUUUCAGAUGACCCUAGAAUUUAAUUUCAUGUGAAACAUUAAACUGUGAACUUUUCAUUCUAUUAAUCACUUCUUUUGUAGGAUAUUUUAAUUAUAUUAAAUAUAAUUAUAUUUUAAUUGCAUAUUAGUUUUUAGUAUCCAUAUGCAUUACUUGUUGCAUGACACACAUUUCUAACAGUAUUCUUGUCACUGAUAUUAACCUUUUUCUAUGUAGUUAAUGCACAUUAAUUUGAUUCUCUUUCUUACAGAGCUGUUGUUGCUUUGCUUAAUAGACAGGGAAGUAUGGCAAAAUCAAUAAGUGUGUUACCUUCCCUGAGAUGCUGGACAUGAUUCCUUUUGUGACUGGGACUGCUGACAACCCUCCCCUUUACCUGUUGUAUGCGGUUGUUGUGCACGUGGAUACACUGAAUGCAUCAUUUUCAGGGCAUUAUAUUUCAUAUGUUAAAGAUCUGGAAGGAACAUGGUUCAGAAUUGAUGAUUCUGAGGUAACUAGAGUCCACUGAUCACUUGAUGCUGGAUUUUGGGAGUUGUUAUUUGUCUUAUCAAAUGCUGCAUGAAUUGGAUUUCUAGCAAUAUUAGUGUUAGGAAAGGUUCCAAUAUAAUUCAACAAGCAUUAACAUUCAAGAUUGUCAGGCUCGUAUUCCUACUUAGGAUCAUCGAGGGGUUACAAAGUCAGAUCGUAGAAUCUGACCUUAGGAACAUAAGAUCCUACAAAUAAAAAAAAUAUUAAGAUACAUACACUUAAAGAAAUUUAUAUAUAGUUUUUUAUUAAGAUUUAGUAAUUCUUAUAUAUUCUUAUAUUUUUAUUCCAUGAAACUGAACUUAAUGUUAAAUUGUUCAAGUUUUGCAUGUUUAUCUAGCAAACAACUGUACUUAAUGUUUAUCCAGCCAACAGAGAAGAGAGGAGAGAUGGGAGGAGAAGACAGGAGGAGAGGAGAGAACAUGAAAGGGAGGAUAGAAGAAUAGAGAGGAGGAGAAGAAAUAAGAGGAGACACAAAGAGACGGUAAGGAGAGGGAAGGUGGAGAAAUAGCACCUGUGGGUAGAGAGGAAGUAACAACCACUCAAGCAGCCAUGUUGAAUGGUCAGCAAUGCUGGUACCCUCUCAUCGUGAAUGGCAGAAGUGGUCUAGGUCUGUCUUCUCGUCACUCUUACACUGCAAGGAUCACACAUCUUUGAACAGCCAGUAAGGCAGCAUCCUCUCGUUGCGGGCAGCAACAAGGUCUAGGGCUCUGUUGCUCCUAUGCUCCAAGGAUGGCACACUGCUUCAAGGUGAGUUCUUUUUACUUUCUUUUAUAUAAAGUCAACUGAGUUGACUUGCUAAGCUCGAGUUGGCUUGGCCGAAUCGACCGAUCUUACCGAGUCAACUCACAAGUCGGGCUGAUUCCACCAUUUUUAAGUUUCGAUGACCAACCCGACUUGCCAAGCCCGAUCUGGGCCAUAAGAUUGCAUGAUCCUACAGCAUUGCGAGUUUAACAACUUUGUUAACAUCCCCUCAAUAUUUUUGCAAGUAUAAUAUCCUCUCUCUCAUGUAUUAGUUGGUUUAGGUUUGAUCUGUGAAAUUGCAUGGUGCAAACCAAGUAGAUUGAGGGGUAUUACACAAAUAUUGAAUAAAAAUCACAUGGAAAAACGGAGGAUAGUUAUAGGAUUCGAACUCAGAAUCUGUUUUCAUACUAUAAUAAAUAUUUUUGACCCGGUGACUAAUGAUUCCUUAACUUGAAGUUGUUAGGAAUGGAUUCAAUAUUUUUAUAAGCAUUAGCAUUCCCUGAAUAUCUGUAUAAGCAUUGACAUUCCCCUCAAAUGCAAGCCAGCUUAAGUUUAGAUUGAAACAUUUAUCAUGGUACUAACUACUAAGGCAUGUCAUGAGUUUGAAACUUGUAUCUGCCUCUCUUUAUUUCAUGUGGUGUUUAAUUGAUGCUUGUGCAAUGUCCUUCUUAAUUGACUUGCAUGAUGCACUUGACUUUGGUUCAUGCAUCAAGCCUAAUCUGGCUUGCACAUGAGAGAGGAUAUUAGAACUUAAUAUAAAUUGGGCCAUUUCCUAAAAUUUUAAGUUUUUGGAUUUUGGUCACCCAUUUUAAAUAUUUAUCAAUUAAUGUGUCAUUUGCUUGAUGAUGCCUGUCUAUUUCAUCUGAGUGUCUAUUCUUCUGAAGUUCACCUGCCUUUUCUAUUGCAGGUUAUGCUCAUUUCAUAUAACGUGUUUCAUGUAUUUGCUGAUUGAUUAGCUUAAAAAGUGCCUUUCUAGAUGGACCUAAAUUUUGGUUUAUCGUUGCUUUAUCGGUUGACAGACAUUAUAGCUUACUUGGUUGCCAUAAAUAGUUCAUGUUCCCAUCUCUUCUAAAAACCGGCAGUUUCUGUAUGUCAUGUCAGAGCGCACUGAAACAGGAUUCCAGUUGCUAUACAGAAUUAGGGCUUAUUAGACAAGUUAAUCAUAGGAAAGGAACAGGUUUCCUGUUGCAAUACAGGAUUAGGGCUUCUUAGACGAGUUAGUCAUAGGAAAAGCUAUAAAUGUAAAGGAAAAAAAUAACAACUAUACCAGUAUCAUAUUGGUCAAUGAAGAUACAUAGUAAUCUGAGAAUCAUCAAUCAUCAUAACUAAAAUAUCCAAAAAAUUGUGUUAAUCUUCACUAAGGAGCCUUCAAGAAAAUGGUAAAUUUGUGAAUCCAAGUAUGAGUCAAGGCAAUGAUAUGUGCCAUAAUUUAACAUGCAGAUUUACUCUAAUCCUAUUUCACAUUUUCACUCAUUUUGACGUACCUUGAAAUACCUAAAGUGAGACAGGAAUCAGAUCUUAACAGAGCUUUCUUAGAGCAAGGAAUGCACUGUUUUGACUAGGGCCAGUUGGAGAAUGGGAGGCAGAGGUUAAGAUGGGACAUGUUAGCAUGGAUGAGUCCAUCAAUUGUGUAUCUUAAGCUGGUUAAUUGAGUUCGAUUGACAAUUAUUAAAAAUAAUUUUAUGAAUUCCUUGCUUAUUCAACUAUAUGGAUGCAAGCAUUUUAGAUUAGUUUCUAUAAUCAGUUUGAGGAACUUUUCUAAUCUUAUCUUGUUUCAAAUAGGUGCAAGCAGUACCACCGAAUCAAGUGAUGUCGGAAGGUGCAUACAUGCUUUUCUACGCGAGGUAGGUCAGUCUACUUUGGUACAAUGUUUGGUUAACACAUUUUUACUUGCUGUAUCAUGUAAUCCUCAGAUCUUUUCCACGGCCCCCUCAAGCUCAUACCGAGAAAAAAUUAUCACAUCCUCCAACUUUUGCAAAGCGGAGUGUGGUCAAGAGCCAGAAAUCUUCAAAACAUGGGCAACAAAGACAAGAUGGAAGCUUACAUGCCUCAGAAAAUUUGGUGAACCCUAGAAAUCAUAUGGGAAAGGAACAUGGUGAAGAUACCACGGACCAAGCUGCUGAUCACAUCUCAAGGCCUUCAAGUAGAAACAGCCUGCCGGAUGGAACAUAUCCAGAUACGUCGAGCAUGGAAUUUUCUGAUGCUACAUCUAGUGAUUGGCAUCUUUUCACAAGUUCCGACGAUUCAUCAUUCACCACCGAGAGUACCAGAGAUUCAUUUAGCACUGCCGAUUAUGGAGACAAUACUAGCAUCGACACUAUUUCCUCUAUAUUCAACCCCUUCUACGCACCAAGUUAUGUUCAUGGCAAUGCGGUUUCGUGCACAAAAUUCCCACCUUGUAGGCCACAGACAAGAUUCUUCAUGGAUAGCACAAGUGGAUCCUUAGUUGCCAACUCAGCAUUUCGGCGGUGUACAUAAAGGAAGGGAUCUGGAACAAGCCUGUGCUUCGACUGAACCUUCAUCUUCGGCAAGUCACUGUAGUUUGUAUGGUCAGUGGGGAGUAAUCCCAAAUAUGGCUUUGUUCUUCUAGCUUCUGGAUUUUGUGACAUGUUGUUAGAUUCUCUUAGAUCUAGUGGAGCCUACUUAUUCUGACUGGUCCCGAAGCUGAAGUUGGAUGCGCCUCUUGUUUUUUAAUCCCCGAUGAGGCGCGCCUAAUCUUGGAGGCAUUUGUCAGGGUGGACAAGAGGCAUCAUGUACAACUGGAGUAAUUUAGUGUAGAUUCUGGCUUCUUGUUCCAUUGUGGUGGUAAAAAAAGAAGAGUUGUUCUUAGAAUGUUAAAACCUUGAUGGUCUCUUAGCAUAUGGUGAUGCAUGUUUGUCCAGCUUUAUGUGAGCUAGGUUUUUGUGACCUGGAACUCUUCUUGCUGAUGCUAUGGGAAAUGCAGCAGUAGAAUGAAACCCUAAUGGGCACACAGGCCUCAAUGCCAAUGGCUUGUGUGCUCCAAUGUAUUCUAUUCCUAUGAGCUCACUGAACCAGAGAUUGUGGAUGCCAUGUCUCAUUCUUUCUUGGUCAAAGAUGUGACAGAGCGCAUGGAAAGAACCAAAAGAUGCCCCCUAGGGAUUCUGUGAGGAGCUCCAGAAUUGACUCUCUCUCUCUCUCUCUCUACAAGAAAGGAAAGCCUGGUAACUCACAUUUGGUAUUUAGUGGCCCAAAAGUGUGGAGCUCGUAAUGGGCCGCCCGUUUGCCGUAUCAGCCCAUUACAAACUAUUCUUUCAUUAAAGAUUUUAUUUUGUUUACUACGUGAAUAAAAAUUUUAAAAUAAUAAUUUAAAAGUAUUUUUCGAAAAUAGAGAAAAUAUUAUUAUUUUUUCUUUUUUUGAUGAUGUAAACAAUUUCAAUCUGUUUUUUUUGUGUCUCGUCAAUCAUUAUUAAUACGUCACAACAAAUAUACUUUAAUUAAUACCCCCAACAACUGAUGUUAGAUUUAUGAAUCAUGAAGUUUUGACGGAUUCCAUGUCACAAAUUGAUGUCAUUGUCUCGAACUCGAACUCAAAAUGGUUUUAGUCCUCGUUACUAUUCAUCAUCCGACCUAUAAGAAAGAAGUACUAAAAUGACUCGAUUGUCCUCACUCAUGAUUUGAAUUCGGAUUCUCUUGGAAUCUUUUGUUACCAUAAGCUUUAAUUUCUCUCUAUUUCUAAAAUUAAUAAAAAGUAAAAAAAAAUCCCCCUUUAUCUCAAUUUCCUUCAACAUAAAACCUUUAUUUAAAGUCAAUGAUUUUUAAUUCUACCUCUAAAACUUUUAACUUUGGUACAUAUUCCUUGAAAACCUAGAAAUUGGAUACCUUUUUUGUUUUCUUAUAAUUAAGAUUUUAGAUUCAAUAUUGGCUUUGUUGCUAAAUUUAUGUUAAAACUACUUCAAAAUAGAAUCAUUUUCAGAGGAGUAGUUGGGAUAUCACAAAUAGAGAAAAAAGAUAUUUUCACUUUGGCCUUCAAUGCCAUUAUAUUGUUUUUUUUUUAAAUAAAGUGUAAUAAUUUCAAAUUUAAAUAUAUUUUUAUUAUACAAUCUCAUUAAUAUUUUAAACUACAAAUAUGUUCAUAUAUAUAUAUAUAUAUAUAUAUAUAUAUAUAUAUAUAUAUAUAUAUAUAUAUAGGUAAAAAAAUUAACUCCAUUUAAGGUUUUUAUUGAAGCAUUUUUUAUAUUAUGUGAUUAUAUUUAAAGCUGUUAUCACUAAAAAAUGUCUUAUUAUUAUAUGAAAAAUUAAUAUGGCAAUGAAGAGAUGAAGAGAAAAUGGACAGCAUAGGAGGGAGACGAUGACGGAGGUUUCAUGAUGAAGAAGGAAGAAUGAGCCGGAGCAUAUUUAUUGUGAAGGAUAGAACACCGACAAGACAUCUUUAAGGUGGUGUAAUGGUCGUAAUAAUGGAACAGCAUCUUUGUUAUUGUGAGGAGAGGAGACGACGUAAAGGAAGAGAGAGAGAGAGAGAGAGAGAGAGAGAGAGAGAGAGAGAGAGAGAGAGUAUCAUGUUAGUAUAAACAUAAAAAUCAUAAUUAUAUUAUAGUUAUUUUAAAAAAAUUAAUAUCAACAAGUUUUUUUAAUAUUUUUAUUUUUAUAUAUAAUGUCAAAAAAUUUAUAAAAUUAUAUUUCAUUCUAAUAUUUUAUUAUAGGAUUAUUACAAAUUCAAGAUUCAUAUUAAUUGUAUGCAUAUCAUCAUAUAUAUACACAGAUUCAAAAACUAAAUUUCAUUAAAUUAUGAUGAGCUUACUAUCACCAAAUAAGAAAUAAUUCUAGAUAAGAAUUUAAAUUUUAAGAAUUAUAAAAAUGUAUACACUUAAGAUCCAUCAUGAUAAGUACCGAUUAUUAUCUUUUUUACUUUAAAAUAUUUUUUAUAAUGAUAAAUAUUUCAUAUUUGUCUAGUUUUCAUAUUAAAAUAAAUUUUUAUUAUUAAAAAUAUAAAUUGAAGUGUCAAAAUUAAUCCACCAAGUAUUAGAAAAGGAUUUAUAUAAUGUUUGAUUGAAAACAUAUAUUAGGGACUUGUAUUGUUAAUAGCACUUUAGUAUAAAGAUUUUUUUUUCUUUUAUGAGUUUAUAUAAUAUUUAUAAACUCAAGUGAUUUACACUAUAAUUUUUGUUUAUUAUUAUACACUCUUUGAAUAGUAUAUAUAAUAUUAUGAAUUUUUUUUUUAUUUUAAUCUUAAUUCUUUCUAAACACAUAUACUAGUCAAUUCAUUUAAGAUUUACUUAUCUUUAGCUUUAUUAUAGUAAAUUUUAAAUGAGCCAAACUAAAUGGAAAUAAAAUUAAUAAUAAAUUAUAUAAGAAAAGACUCAACCAUAUUCAUGCAUAUCUAAUGUUUUUAGGGUACAAUUUUGUCAACCAUGUUGAUGAAAUAAUUUUAAAAUUUUAAAUACUAUUAUACUAAAUUUUAAUAUUUUUUAGUAAGAUAUUAGCUAAUGACUUGUUAGUAAAUUUAAAUUUAUCUUUAAAUAUUCUAAUUUGUUAGUUUUAGACUAUAAUUAAUUCUAAAUAUUAUUUGUUAGUGUCCAUUCGAUGUUGGUUGCGACUAGCAAACGUCAUCGUAGUGGUAUUGUUGUAGUCACCGUAGGUAACGACACUACUGUAGUCACCUACGACCAAGAUAGGUUGGUCGUUGCAGGCUACUACUACACAUAGGCAUCUGUUGCACCUCAUUGUGCUUCUACCAUAUAUAAUAACAAUUGUACACAGUCCGCGACUAAGCUAAUGACCAUGGAGGCCACCAAUCUCAACAAUGCAUUCGCUAAUAAUAGACUAUUAAUGAUAGUCCAUUAAUUAAACAUGAGAAAUCUCACAUCGCUCACAAGCAAGCAAUAGGAAAGAUGAGAUAUAAAAGUAGAUUGAUAAUUCACACAAAUUGUUUAAGUAUCAUACAAUCAAAACCAUAUAAUAAUCUUUCAUAAUCGAAGGAUACUAAUAAACAUAUCUAAAUAAAAUAGAUCUGACAUACUUUAUAAUCAAAAGUAUUUGAUUUCAAAAUAUGAUUAUGAUACCAGAAUAAAAAUCAUAAUUAUGCUAUUGUUAUAUAAAAACUUUAAUAUCAGAAAUCGAAAUCAAAUAAAGAAGAUCAAAUUUAUGAUGCAUAUAUUUUAAUUUUAUUAAAAAAUAUUUAUUUGAUCUAUGAGUGCAUCGUGGUAAGAUCCGGCUCGUCUUCUCCCCUCUUUUUAUCCUUCAUAGGAUAAUUAUAAGUUAUGAAAUAAAGAACGAGAGAGAUUAAAAAUAAAUAUAUAAUCUUAAUAUAUAUUAUUUUAUCCCUAUCAAGUUAUGUACUUUUAUAUAGACUAAAGCAGAUAAAUUAAAGCGAUGGUUUAAUCACUUAUUAAGGAAUCAUAUCAUAAUUAAAAAUUUUUUUUAUCAAUAAUUAUAAUCAAAUCUAAUAAGAUUUAUAAUAUAUUUUAUCUAAUUAAAUAGAAUAAUAUAAUAUAAUAAUCAGGUCAAUUUUGUACGAAUUAAAUGAUUUUUGUCGAUGAGCAAGAGAGUUUUCAGGUUAAAAAAAAAAGAAAUCUUUUUGGUGGGCUUUUACAGCAGCUGUUUCAAUUGCUGGGCAAUGGUGGGAGGGUGAUGGAGCUCAUUCCACUGCUCUGCUCUGCUCUGUUUCAUAUAUAUUUUUUAUAUGAUGACGUCCAUAUACGAUCUUCUUGGAAGAUGAGAGGAAUGACCGGUGGUCUCUUUUCCCUCCGUCUUUAGGAAUUAAGGUGUUGUCCUUUGGGAGCAGUUCCUGAUGCUAGGAAGAGCAAAAAAGCUGAGAACUUGUGAACAGUGGCAGAGUAUGAAUGGAAUGACAGAGGGAGGGACUACGCUCGUCAUGAAGCGAAGCGCAGGACUAAUAACUGCACUGUCAGCGGUCAAGUGGAACUCAGAGAGAGAGAGAGAGAGAGAGAGAGAGAGAGAGAGGUGCAGCGGUGGGAGUCGCCACUUUAGAUCUCGGUUCAAAAUCUCUCCUUUUCUUCUCUUUCUCUUCCUCUUCUGGUGAAUAAAACUGGACCAGAGGCGACGGGGUCGGGUCGGUUGGCUAUCUUUUGACGUGCGACGAUCUGUACUUGUGUGAGGGAUUUGGUGGAGGAAAGGCCGCGUCUUCUCUUCCUCAACCCCUGCGUUGCGUGACCCAGUGGGGCUACUGGUUACGUAGUUUCGAUAUGGAGAGGCGUGGUUGGUGGGGGUGAUCUCUUCUUCCUGGUGUCCUUUUCUGAAUCCUCAGGGUGCGUAGGGUGAGGAAAAAUUCGAUCUUGCGCCGCGUUUAAGAUCGCCGGUCCUUUGCUUUAUUCGAUCCCUCCCUCCGUGUCGUUUCUGCCCAACUUUUGCAGGGGGAGAGAAUAUUUGGAUCGCCGGUUCCUCUUCCUGCGCCCCUUUUUUGAACUCCCAGAUGAGCUUAUGUGCACAAGCGAAGCCCUUCGUUGGUCUUCCACUUUUGAAUCUGGACUCCGUUCAUCUCUCUCUCUCUCUCUCUCUCUCUCUCUCUCUCUGUGCGCUGCUUUUUUUUUGUGUAAUGGGCAUAGGUUAUGGGUUUUACGUGGAGCUGCGAUUAGUUUAAUGGCAGCGAGGUGGUGGUGGGGAAGGCUUCCUUAUCCUUUGGGUCACCCUGCGACGUACUUUUGUCUUGUAAUGCUGUUCUUCACGAGGGUUUGACAGAGUUUUCCUUUUGAAAAGAUCCCAUCUUUCCAUCUUUUUUGGCCGAAUUCUUCUUCCUUCGGUUUCCCCUUGUGUUGUUCGAAGCGCUUCUUUAAUCAUUGUAUUGCCUCUUUUUUAGCUUUUACCUCCUCACUGUGAGAUUCCCUGCUCUCUUGUUCUUUUAGGGUGUGUGAGACCACCGCACUCACAUCCACUUCUCUUGAGCUGCUGUGCUCCUUGUAGGACCUUCAAAUCACUUGGCUUUGUUGCUACAGUCCGAGAAAUGGGCCGGGCGACGCGGUGGCUGCGGAGCCUGUGGGGUGGGAAGAAGGAGAGCAAGGAUCCCAAGGAGUACUCCCGCUACAGCGGUGGCGAGGACAGGAGGGAGAAGAAAAGGUGGAGCUUCGGGAAGCCAGCCAGGGACGCCGGGGAGGUGGUGCUCGGCCAGAAUGCUUCGACGGCGGCGGCGGUGGAGGCGGCGUGGUUCAGGUCCUUCUACGCUGAGAGCGACAAGGAGCAGAGUAAGCACGCCAUCGCCGUCGCCGCUGCCACAGCUGCGGCCGCCGACGCAGCGGUGGCGGCGGCGCAGGCUGCGGUCGCGGUCGUGCGGCUGACGACCAGGGGGACGGGCGCCGCUCUCGACAGCUGCCGCGAGCGGUACAUGGCGGCGGUCAAGAUCCAGACAUCAUUCAGGGGAUACUUGGUACUGAAACCAGCUCACCUUGGUUCCCUCUGCGUGCUUCAUGCUCGCCUUGUUCUUGCUAAACGUCCCAUAUUUUCUGAUCCUAAUCAAUGACAUCAUCCUGUUCUUCCAGGACGAGAUUUAAUCCCUUCUGGUUUGCGAUUUUGCAGGCAAAGAAAGCCCUCCGAGCUCUCAAAGCACUAGUGAAGCUACAAGCUUUAGUUAGAGGCUAUCUGGUACGCAAGCAAGCCACAGCUACUCUUCGUAGUAUGCAGGCCCUCAUCAGAGCUCAGGCCACCGUCCGAGCUCAGAGAUCUCGAAAUCUUCUUCCACAUGACCGAAGGUUUCAGCUAGAAUUCCGCCAUCGGCGAUCGUUGGUACGCUUCCAACACAGGCUGCUGCGCCAUGUAAUGCUGCGUUGCUCGGUUCGCUAUCUGUUUGCUUUGGUCGCAGGAAAGGUUCGAUGAUACGCGGAGCGAGAACACGUCGUCGUUCCACAGUAGAAGGCUCUCCGCGUGCCUCGAUAAUGUCUCGAACAGCUUCGACCGGAGCCCGAAGAUUGUCGAGGUCGACACCGGCCGCCCGAGGUCGAGGUCUUCCCGACGAAGUACUCCAUCUGUCUUAGACCCCGCCGAAGACUUGCACUGGAGCUCCAUCACGUCUCCUCUCCCAUGCCAGAUUCCGGCGAGGAUCUCCGUCCCCGACUGCCGGGACUUCCAAGACUACGACUGGUGCCUCGCCUUCGAGAAAUGCCGACAAUCUGCAACCGCGCAGAGCACCCCUCGCUGCGCAAGUUCAUGCAGCAACUGGCCAGUCACUGGGGCGAAGAGCGUGUGCGACGAGGACGGAGUUCUCCGCCGCUUCUCGAACGUGCCGAGCUGCCCCAACUACAUGGCGAGCACGGAGUCAUUCGAGGCGAAGUUGAGGUCUCAGAGCGCUCCGAAGCAGCGGCCGGAUCCGGCCGGGACGAGGAAGAGGCUGCCUCUGAGCGAAGCGACGGUGGAGUCCAUGGCUGCUCUUAGCGGAGUGGGAUUCCAGAGGCCCUGUUCUCGAGCUCAGGAGGACUUCAACUUUAGGAGUGCUGUCGUUGGGAAAAUCGACCAGUCCUCCGAGUUGAGGAGGGAGGCAGAGGAAGAGUUCUACUUGCCAAGGAAGUGGUAAUGCAGGAACAGAGUCAUAAGAUUAUUAGAACAAGAGGAACAUAGAGAGAUCUGUACUUCUUUCUCUGGAUCAUUUCUUUUGCUGUUGUGUUCACAGCACUGGUGGAGAGAGAAGCAUAGUGUGGUUUCCAUGUAAAUUCUUGACAAAUCUCAUCUUCCUCAGGAGAUGCAUUGUUUCCUUCCAAGUUAAUCAUCUUCAACCUCUUUAUCUACUGGACUUUGUUGGACUGGUUUGCAUGUGCCUCUUUUCUGCAGCUUAUCCUUGGGUUAAAAGAAACAAAGAGACACCAAAGGUUGCUCAACCAUUCACUCAUACCCAUAGCGAAACACAAAGGAAAAGGAUCAUCUGAUGUACUUUGGCCAAAACAUCUGUAACCACUCAGAUCAAUACUGCAAUAAAGUUUUGUUUCACAAGAAGAAGAAAACACACAAAGUUUAUGGAACCCAAGAUGGGCAUAAGUACCCGAAGAGUGUGAUCAAUCCAAGAAAGCAAGACAUAGACAACUUCUGAAGCUCCACUGGCUUCUGAAGCCAAUGGAUGAGGAGUUAAGAAAAAAAGCUCACAUAGACAACUUAUCAUAAGGUAAAGGAAAAGAACUCCACAAGAUUGAAGGGUGGGCAUGGUUUUCAAAGAUGAGAUGACACAAGUCAUGUGGGAGGUCUGAGAGGGUCAGCAGAUGAGCAGCAGGUUGCUGACCUGAAAACUUUCCACUCCCUCCUUCAUGUUUCCUUUUCAGCAAUCAUUAGGUUUUGCUAUGAUUGAUGAGAGAGUUUGGGAGUGUGUGCACACAAAACACCAUGUGGACUUUCCUCGGUGCUCUCAGUCUCUCCCUACGCUGCGUGCACUGUCGCCUUCCAAUCCCAGGGCCCGUAGCUUGCAUCACCUUGCCUCACGACUCCAACUGGAGUUCCUAUUGCCACCGUCCUCUUGACCCCUCGCCCUUUGGCCACUUCCGCUGCUCUCCUCCGUCACCACAGCUUCCUCCACGACCCUAUCUCUCGACUGGCACAGCAGCCCGUGUCCUUGCUCCACUCCACCGAUCGAGUGCAUCGCUGCUGCAUGCCGCUCCUCGUCUUCCUUCUCGAACGAGGUGACAGCAUAACGGACUGAACCACACGAUCACAUUGCUCGAUCGGCAUGAAGCAUCACGUUAAUGGUGUCACCUCAGCGUGAAACAAUCUACGAAGUUGAUGCUUGUAGGUACGUAGGAUUAUUGUCCUUGUCCUUUUCUAACUCUCAUCGAUUAAUUCGUUGCUCCUAUGAAGCAUUGAUAUGAUAGUGCACCAGUUCUUGUUCCAUGUUCUAUCACGGUUGAAGUACUAUGAGUGUCCGAUUACUGUUUUGAGGAGUUCAGCAAGGUCAAGGCUAACGCUAUCCUAUGAAAUUAAUAUUAUUAGUUCACGCAGGGUUUUAGAAUAGGGGUCAUGAAUAUAAUAAUGUCAUGACCUAAUGGAUCCAAUCUUAAACAAAUGAGGACAAGGAAGUGGGACAAGCUUACCUGAUGGGAUGAACAUUCAAAAUUUCCCUCCAAACUCGGCACCACUAAUCUACACUACAGUGAUACAGUGACACACACACAUAUAUAUAUAUAUAUAUAUAUAUAUUUGCUCGCUAUUCAUUUCUAUCACUAUAAACAAGAAUGAAAGAAAAUAGUUACUUGAGAGAGCUUCUCAUGGGUUGAAGAAAUGUUUUACAGCUUGCAAAGUCCAGGAAUUCGCUGCAGGAAUGGAGGCAUGACCCACAAAGGCACAUGUAAAGGGACAUGGUUGCAAACCCCCAAACGCCUUGUUCCUGCCUCAUGUCUUCCACUGGUUCAUGCCAGUGUCAACUAGGCUGAAAAGAAGAGGAAGAACAAUAAUUACCACACUGUGAUAACCUUAUCUAAUAUGAUAUGUGCUAUAGCAGAUGGUUUUGAUCAGUAUACCAGACACUAUCUAACCCCAAAAGUACAUUCUAAGUUUCUAUAGACAUGCAACGGAAAGCAACACACAACAAGCAUGCUGAAGAGAAAGACGACAAGCAUGAUAAAUGUUACAGAAGAGAGGUCUCUCAACGUAGUAGUUUACACAAACAGGUACAAAUAACAACCAGAUUUUGCAACAAAACGCCCAAAAUAGACCACAAGCUCGUUAUUCCUCACGCUCAUUGCAAGUUCAGGUAGAUUCAAGGGUUUAACACCAACGACACGACUGGCAGAAAUAGACUCCAUAAAGUCCAUCCAAGGAUUUAACACCAAAGACACGACCGGCAGAAAAGGAUCGGGGCUCCAUGGCCAUGUUCAAAAGCCCUGAUCAAAGAGAUAGUCGCCAAGCCUCUCCACUACCAUAUUGCAUUGACCAGGCGUCAUGGGCUCAUUAUAUAUGCCAAUGAUCAAAGCCAGAUUGGUUUUCUUGAUGGUGACACCGCCAGAACCCUAAAUAUUUAAAACAAGUCAACGGUCAGCAGAAAUUGUGGCUGAAGACAUUAUUUACCAAAAAGUAUCAGAUUGCGUUUCUUAAUUAUGUACUCCACUGGGAACAUGUAUGUGUGUGUUCUUUUAUUUUAAAUAUGCCACUGCAACAUUCAUAUAGCCAAUUUUUCAAUAAAUAAUGCAAAACAGACUCUGGACGAUGAGCAUAGGCAAUGACAACACAGGCAAUUAUCGUGUUUUGUCAACACAUCAGUUAGUAAGAAACAAGCUGAUAGAUAGCCAAAUGGGAAUCAAACAUUCUCAAUAUAGUUUUUUUCACAAUGCAUUGAGAUGAUCUAACCAGCAGACUGAAUAAACCCACAAAGCCAUUUACAAUGCAUUUUAACACAAAAUUUUGCCAUAAAAGACUGAUGAUUGAUUGCUAUAAUAUCAAAAGGUUUAUAAAACAAACAACAUUCUCGAUGUUCAUAAAGAAAAUCUGAGUUAUCAAAUUGUAUGCGCUCUAUAGUUCAUUGUUUCCCAUGUUUAAUUUAUUUUUAUCUUCAUUAUAUUAUUUUAUAACAACAACAACAAGAUGUUGUAAUGUCUCAAUUAUUUGGUAUAGGAAAGAACAACAUAAUGCAGGGAGUCCCAUCAAUAUGAGGCCUAGAGAAAAUCAAUGCACAUAGCCGCCUUAGUUACAGAGAAGCUGUUUCCAUUUACUGGAUCCCUAAUCUAUCAGGUUAGAUAGAAUAAACCUUACCUCACACCUUAACCUUUAGAAAAUUUAAAGUUGAGCACUACUGACAAAACCAGUAUUUAUGUAUUGACCCUUCUCAAAACAAGUUGACAAGUCAUCUAUGGAGAAACUACCACAUAAAUUACUGAAAUCAUUAAACAAUUUGUUAAGUGUUACAAGUAUAUUACUGAACAUUAAUCACUUGAAAAAUCAAGUGAGUACCAUGAAUGAGACAUUCUUUGUAACAAAGUUGAAAUUUCAUGCACUUGAAAUUCUGAAUCCAUACUAAAAAUUGCACGAAUUUAGUCUAGUCCAUAAAUGGGAUGUAGAAUUCUGACCUUCUUCCCUCGAAUAACAGCUCCUGGUUCCCCUUGGAUGACCAUGUACUUCGUCCCACCAAGGUAUAAACCAGUUGGAGCAAGAGACCCAGGUUCAUCGAAGUCUUUCAUAAUUGCAGCAAUCUCUUCAGGCUUGCACUGCACAGUUAAUAAGAAUAAAGCUAUUGACUGAAUAAAUAAAAGAUAUAGAAAGAAUCCUCGGAACGAUCAGAUAGUGCAUUAUAUUGAAUAUUUGCACUGACAAUCGGAGAGAAAAAAAGCCUUGAAAUAAAAAAAAAGCAAAUAAAGUAACACACUUUUCUUUUUUAUUUUCAUGUCAUCCACAAGUAAAUGUCCAUAUUCAUUGACACAAAGGCAAACAUAUUCAUGCCACAUAUCAACAGAUGUAUGGGUAUCAAAUGUAUAUCUGCAUAAUGUACACAUGAUAUCUUGAUCAUUAUACUUCAUAAACAUAAUUUAACAGUUACUCAUUGACUAACUUAAGAAAUUAGCAAGCUCACUUGAUAAAUUUAUACUCUAAGCUAUAUAAAAUUAUAAAUAAUAAAAGUUCUUCAAAACCACUAUAUGAUGAGAAUGCCUUUGGAUUAACUGACGACAUCAUAUCCCUUUGUAAAAUGAUGAGAAACUAACCUUGUUCUAUCUUAGUUGUUAUGAUGUGACCCAAUGAGAUAACUGACCCAUUAGGAUGAUAAUAGUAGAAGACUCAAAUCAAAGCUAAUAGUAGAAGACUCAUUUAGUUCUCGUAGACCAAUUCAAUUCAAACUAAAGUUGAGGUAUUGCAAUAUUUCAUCACUUAGGGCUUCACAUCAUCGUCAAGACCCGACAUAUCUUAGAAUCAAACCUCAGUGCAACUUGAGGGUCAACAUAUUGGUGGUUUCACAUAGUGAUGUCUCUUUGGCCAUAUCCACAUGUAUCUAGCUCUUUCCUAUUUGGGUUCCUCAACAUGAUUAAUACUAAGUGUGUUCUAAUACCAUUUGUCAUGAUACCGUUUGAUGAGACAACUAACUCAUUAACUUGAUAGUCUAGAAUCAUAUGGUCUCUAGUAAAACUCAUCUAGCUCUUAUAAGCCAACUCAAUUCACUUUCCACAUCCAAUGUGAAACUAUUUGGAGUGUUAUAAUCUCUCCCACUCAUAUUAGGGAAGUUCACAAUAAGUUUAUUUGCAAUGAUCCUAUAACAAUAAUUAUCGCCACCACAAACAUUUAAUGAUCCUACAAUAGAGGCUGAGCUCAACGGUCUUAGAGGAUAAAGAACCCUUGACAACUCCGUCUACAUCGUUUUGUAAUUAAAAUAAAAGAACCAAAAUUGCUCACGUUUCGAAAUUGUAUUGACCUCUAAGAGCCGAAGCUUAAUAUCUUACAGUAACGAAUGCAACAACUAAUGUCACUUGAGCAUGAAAUCCGGAAUUAGAUUCCCUCUCGAAUCACCGUUGGUAAUCCCUGCAGAAACUAACACCUGAAAUUUAAUGCGAUGUAAGAAAGUCACAUGAUUUGAUCUGCCAUCCAAUCCCUCCCAGCAAAGUUCCCGUUGCUCCGACAAGCAAUGGAUUAGUUAAAAAGCAUGAUCGGACACUUACCAACAUCCAUGAAGUCAAAUUCUUCGUCGACAGGAAAAUCACAACCCAAGGGGAUCGAAUCUACGACGAACCAACAGUCCUCGAUCAGAUAGAGAAAACCCCUCCCCAGUCACUUUCACCACCGACCACAGAAAAAGGACCCAAAGAUAGAUCUCCGGCUCCAAUCAUCAUCGGCCAGAUCCAAAGAUCACAACACGAUCCGAUCGAAUCUAACUAGAACGACGGGCAGGAGAAUCAAGCGAGGCUACUAGGAGAAGCGAAAGGAAGGAUACCUGAGGGAAGACGUCGCUCUGGGCCCAGACGCUGCCAUCGUGGCCGACGAUGGCGGCGGCCGUGAGACACUGGCCAUCGAUGUCGCACAACAAAUGGUCGUCAACGUACGUCUGCCAAGACAUCGUCCUUCCCCUUCUUCUCCGGGCGCUCGCCUCGGCUCCAACGCGUGAGCAGUAAGCGCUCGCCUCCUCUGCUUAGGGUAACUCCCACUCGCAUAUAUACGUAUAUAUAUGGAAGAAUCGACGGGUGAGGGAGGGGCAAUAGAAUAACGAUAUCGUCGGAGGUGGGAAAUGUAAAAGGCGCUGUGGGCCUAAAGUCCAAUAGGUCGUCGGAUGGGCAGUGGGCCCCAAUGGGCCUAAGAAUUAAGAACGGUUAACUAAAAUGAUACAGAUCAGAGGCUAUCUUUCAAGUUAUCAUAAGUUUAGUAAAGGGAGAUGAUAGGUUUGAUAAUUAGUUUUGUAAAUACUUAUUUGGAAUAUUUUUAAUAAAUAUCCCUUCGAUGUUUGAGAUCAAGAACUAAAUGAACCUUUAUGUUAGACGCUAAGUCGAUAUCAUAAUUGAACGUAAGACUGAUGAGAUAGGAUGAUAUCAUAUUUCUUACGUGUUAGAACUUCGAGAACAAUUGAACUCGAUAACCAAAAAAAAUUUCAUGUAGUUGACCUCAACGACUAAAAAAAUAUUCAUAUUAUUUUUCCCAAAUAACUGAAACAUCAUUCUUUAAUUCGGUUUGUAGAGUGUCAGUACCAAAAUAACCUCAUCGAUGUACAUUAAUAUACUGUUGUUGAUCGCAUAGUGAUAGCGAGAUGGCCAACCAUGUCUCCCAUUUACAUGGCAUAAAUGCAUGAGUGCAUGUGAGCUCCAUCGAGGCCACAACAAUAAUGUCAUUUCAUUAAUAAUUUUGUAUAUAUAAAUCUUGUGUACACCAAUAAUGUCAAGUCAAAAUUAACCCAAAGUCAAACUAGACGCUUAGAUUACAUUGGAACGUACUCUCCAUAUCACAUAAGUUAUAUCUCGACAAGAUCGAGCUCAUACCCACUUGUGAUCGCACAUCCCACCGCCCUUUUGAUCCUUGGAUUCUUUGUAGGCGGGAGCGAAGUGGAUGAUUGCAAGCUCGCGCUGUGGCAUCGUCGUCUAUCCACGCAUAGACAGACCAAAGCUUUGUUUUGGCUUCUUGCUUUGCUUUGAACUAAAGAUUAUCGCUGCACGGCCUUUUGAGCGACCAUUUAUCAAAGCUGCCUCUUUGUUCAGCGCUUUGCAUGGAGUGGUCCUAUCGAGAUUUGUCGCUAAAGAAGAUAAAGCCUACAGCGAUUACUUGCAGGGGACGGGAGCAAUCAUUCGUGCUUCAUUGUGAUCGAAGCAAUCAUUGGCAAUUUCCCUUUGCUUACCGAACCCACCACGGAUUGACCGCAACGGGGUACGCACUCGACGGCCGCAUAGAAGAUGGAGGACGACGAGGCGCGGUCGCAUGACGGGCCGCACGUCUUUUCUUGCCCACCGCCACCACCAGCCGCUUCCCCUCCCUAAUUCCCUCCGCGAUCGCGGGUUCCCCGCCCCGCUUCUCUCUCUCGUUUGGUCUUGCACCUGCGGUGGUAAGUCUCUUACUUUACUACCAAGGCUACCUUGAUGCCAGCUACACUCUUCGAUGUGACCCAGGAGACGGGGCAAGGCAGAUCUACUUCGGCAAUUCUUCUUCUUCUUCUUGCUGGUACGCCCCCCACCCCCAUUCUAUGUUCUCGUAAUGGUUGCUCAUGUUUGGUCGUCGGUCUCUAGCUUGCUUACUCGCACAUGGUGAUCUCUGAGACGAUGCUUUCCCCUGCGAUUUGCCGUCGUUCUUUCAUUCGUGGCUCUCGUGUAGGGAAAUUGAUCUGGCUCUGUCGAGUUUGAUAUCCGGAUUGAAUUAGGUACGAUGCGCAGGUCUGGGGAGAAUGGUGCUGUAGUUUCUGUUGCUGGUGUAUCUUUCUUUCUUUCUCCGAUGGGCGGUAGCCACUCAAAUCAAAGCAAUUUUUUGGUGGUAACAGUUCGAGCACCUUUGGAUUGUUCGUAGAAAUAAGAAAGUUGCGGUCUGGUGCUCCCAAGCUUGCCGAUCGAAGAUAGGGGGUUAGUCACCGAGUUCAUCGACCAUCGGCGGUGGAGAUACCCUGUUCCUUUCAUCGGCUUUCAUUUUUUACUGCUGCGUCUCCUCUUGGCAUCUUUGGUUUGUGAACGAAAUGAAGCAUUUGAUAGUGAUUUGUGAAAGAAAGGAACUCAUGUUCUUUAGUCUUGAAUUAGAUCAGUUUUUAAGAAUCAACACCACUGUGAUGACAUGCAAUUUUGUCUCAAAUUUCCCUUUUUGCUACUGAAUCAUGUCAAAAUCAUGCCUCACUUUCUGAUUGUAGUACUCUUUCUUGUAGUUAUUAUCACUACUUGAGCAACUUAUGGACGCUGAUCUUUCUUACGUGUAUGCAGCAUUUUGCAUUUGUCAUACCGAAAGAGAUUGAAUGCGAAGUUUCUUUCUCCCUCAACAUGAAGCCAUGAACUCAUGAGAACCGAGUACACUGUCUUGUUGUGAGAGUCAUCAAUUGCUACCACUUCUGUUGCGUCAUACUAGGAAGCUAGCUGCAGUCAAGAACAAUGAAAGAACUAUGAUAGAAAUGGGAUUCAAUCAGAGUGAGAAGAUGAGAUCACUUCAGCACCGUUCCUCAAAAUCAUCCAAGGAGAACGGUCUCCCCUCGAGUGAAACCAAGAAUGCUCAUGUGUUAGAGAAGGUUGGAACCCUUAAAACCGAAAGGCUUCGAAAGCCAUGGCCUAGUAGGAAUGCGACCGGGAUCGAAGGACCAAUUAAGAACAUGUCGAAUGUACCUUAUUAUCUUCAGCGCAAAGAAAAUGGAGAUAAUAUUCAUGAGAAGGCACUGAACUUUGGAGUACUGGAUUGGGGGCUUCUCGAGAGAUGGGCAUACCACCAAAGAAGUGUCACAGAUGUGGGUGGUGGAGACUCUGCAUCUAGUAGCACCAUGUCAUCAACAUUUUCUACAUUUGGUUCUUCAAACCAAUCUUGUAGAACCAUGUCUAGUUCUCGAGGGAAGAAAUCUCCUUCAGCGUUUCAUCGUAAGAAACCACCUGUUCUGGACAGUUCAAUUAAGAUGUCUGAGAAAGAAAGCUCUGCACAUACAAAUGGCUUUUGUGGUUCAAGAAUCUCUUCUUCUUCUUCUUCUUCUAAGUUUCCUGUCCAGCAUGAGAGACAUUCCGAUAGAGAUUUUUGUUUAAUCGUUGACCACAAACUUGGUACAGAUGACAAUAAAAAUUUGGAUUCACAAGCCAUUUCAAGUGAAGUAUGCGUAGCUCUGCAUUCUGCAACUUCGCCUUCAGGAUAUAAGAUCGAUGACUCUCCUGCAACAAAAGUGGUGGAGGACCAAAACAGUAGCUUGAUGAAAGCAGAAAUGCCACAGGACUACCCUCAUAGCCUACCCAUAGCCGAUGAUAUGCUAUGGUUAUCCCUGGAUCGGAGAGAAAGAUGGGAUUAUCUUCGACAGAGUGUGGACGGUGGAUGUCUUAAUUCUGAUUCCCCGUUAACUAGUGAUGGCUGGCUGGAUGAGAGGAAUGGCAACAAUUAUUCAGGCAGUUUAGCUGAAGAUGUUGAGAUCAUCCGACAGUAUCCUCAUGUUCCGCAUUCAUGUCCUCUCCCACGGACAAUUCUGAAAGAUGAACCUGAUAUAUCCUGCACUCUUCCGUCGGAAAGUUCAGGACCAACCGAUAAAUUAUUUCCUAGAGAUCCUUGCAAGCAACUUGAAGUUAACACAAUCCAAGAAUCUAGAAAAUAUGGGGCAAAAGCUAUGGCUGUGACAGGGAAGAAAUCAUCUGACCAUCCAACUAGUGUUGGUUUAAGCCGAAUGAGCAGAAGUUGUAGUUUGAAGGAUGGUUCAUCUGAAGAACAAUUCGAGACAAGUUCUUAUCUAUAUAAUUCACAGGGAGAUCAAGCAACCAGAAAUAACAAAAGCCGGCAAAGCCCACUGAGGAGGAUACUUGAUCCUCUAUUUAAGCCAAAGAACAAUCUUCGUUUGACUGGGAUAGCUGCAGCCUUACCGGGCCGCCAUUCCUGUGAACUAAGUAGAACCGUCAAAGCAUUCCAUGGAUUGCACAAGCCAUCAAAACCAAGUGUUGAUUCUACAUGCCAGCCUAGGAGAAGCAUGAACGCUUCAAAUAGAUUGUCCAUCAAUGGCAAAGGAAUACAUCAGGAUGAAAAGCAUAUGGCAUCAGUGAAGCAAGCAUUUCUUCAACUUGCUUGGGAAAAUGGAUAUCCUUCGUUUAUAAUCUCGUCUUGCGACAGUGAGGUACUGGCAGCGACGACGACAAUGACAAGUGUCAGCAAUGAUGAUGGCCUUGAGUGCAUAUAUAAGUUAUUCUCCAUUAAAGACUCUAAGAAGAAAAGCAUGUUCUGGAGCAACCCUGUAAGUAAGGGCAAGAAGCAUCAGCUGACCUCCAAUGUUGUUGGCCAGCUGAGGGUUUCACUUUGCAAGUUGAGGAGCUACCAGUAUGACAAUUCUCAUGUCGUGAGGGAGUUUAAUCUGUUUGGUGCUGAAUCCACACCAACAUCUCACAAACCUGUUGACAAUCCAAUUAAGAGCGAGCUGGCUGCCGUCGUCGUUAAUCUACCACUGGAAAGGCCAAAAAGUACAAAUGUUGGUGAUUUGCGCUGCAGUGAAUUCAGAAGUGCUCCGAACGAAGAGAAACGUUUGCAGACCGAUCGGCAUGAUGUUGCUGUAGAUCGAUCUGGUGUAUCUGUCAUACUUCCGAGUGGUGUUCAUGGAUUGUCAACCGAUGGUGAGCCCUCACCUCUGAUAGAAAGAUGGAGAUCAGGAGGAGCUUGUGAUUGUGGUGGUUGGGAUGAGGGUUGCAAGCUAACCAUUCUUAGCGACAAGCUCCAAGAGUGCACCUCUGGUUCAUUCCAAGAUCGUCAAACUACAGACCGUACUUACAGAUUUGAGCUAUUCAUUCAGGUAUAUCCACUUGGCCAGUCAUUUGUUCCUCUUUCCAAACAUACUCUCUGUUGUUUUUCUUGUAGCAUUGGUGUCGAUGUAGAUAAUGCUAAUAAUUAACCUCUUCUUCUAGGGUGGAUCUCAAGAAAAAAGACAUGCCUUCAGCAUGGUUUCUUUCGGAGAUGGGCAGUAUGCUGUCGAUUAUCUAUCUUCCAUUUCUCUGCUUCAGGCUUUUGCAAUCUGCAUAGCAAUCCAUCAUGGCAGGAAACCUGACAAUUCUUCAGCAGAACCAAAAAGCUUCCGGGAACAUGAUGUCUGUGGUCAGUCAGGGAGAGCUCUUAGAGCGCAAGGUGAUCAUGCUAGCUAUGUACCGAAUCAUCCCCCUCUUUCUCCCGUCGGAAGAGCUUAAUCGUCUCCAUGGUACAUUAUAGCCUGGGUCGUGGUACUUCUGAAGAUGUUUCUUCCCCAAUUAGCCUGUUCAUUGUGGUAGAGGUGAAAGGAGCACUACAAAGUUGCGUCCAUAGUCUAUACAGAAAACAAUAGCAGUCUCUAUCUUAUGUAUACCGCUUCUCAAUGUAAAGAAGCUCAGAUUUUCUCAGUAAUACAGAUGAGGAAGCUAUUUUAGCUCAGAAUUACAGUAUUAUUGUCAUUUAGCAUCCUAAUAUAUCGACUAUAUAACUAUAGAUGUUCUCCGAGUCUUGUUAUCGUCCAUAUAUUCGACUUUUUUUUAUCGAGGUAGUUUCUGAAAUGACUUAGAUUUUCUCAAAAUUCAAUUCAUUGCCACUCCCAGCAGAAAAUCUAAAAGUGUUUUCUGGUCAUGCCAGUGCACAUUUGUUGGGAUUCAUGUGCAAAAGGUUUCUUGUGGGUUUGGUUGUAUUGAUACUCUUGACAAGGAUGUCAUCAACAUAUGUUGUAUAAUCAUGCUGAAAGUUCUUAUUGACUAAUAUGUGGUAUAUGAAUCAGACAUUGAUUAGACCAAAUGCAAUAACUACAUAAUGAUAUGCAUCCCUCUCCUCUUUCCAAUUACAAAUAGGCUUUCUCUGUAACAAGACCAGGUUUAAGCUUCUUUGUUUGAUGGCAUCCAGAACUGAGUGGCUCUUUUGAGAUCACCCCAAAGAGAAGCAUGUUUGAUUCUUGGUUUCUAACUCAUAUCCUUGAUGUUGAAGCAACUCUUAGCACUCAGAUCAUCCCUUUUUCUUUCAUAACAGGAAAUGAAAUUGCCAUGAAUUCAAGUCAUAAUUUUUGUGCAUGACAGAAAAAUAUUGAGUUCUCAAUGAAUGAUCAGUGGAACCCAAACUUGUCACCCCAAUUUCUCAAUGAAUGGUGACAUUCUUUCCCUUUUUCUUCUCCUUUCUCCCUUUUGGAUAAAAUCACACCAGGCAUGAUAAUGAUCUGUUUUCCUCAUUGAAAAAGAAGGCUGCCAGAUGUUCUUCAUGAAAGUUAAUGUUGCAAAAGUGAUGGUGAUCAAGAUCAACAUUUCAUGUGGUAUGUGUGAUGACAAAUAAGAUAAUUGUUGAAGAAAUCCUGGGAUCUUUUUAAGAGUCUGCUCCAGUUCUGUAACUAAGAAAUAUACCACUCUCAAAAUAAGUAGAUUAUUCUAUGUUUGAAGGUUUUAAUGCUUAUCAUCAUAUACAUAUAUAAUCUGCCAUAAUAUAGAGCUCAUAAAAAAGAAUUAAGUGUCUUCUUCUUCUUUUUAUUGAUUCUUUUGAAAUGAAUCCUUGUGUAUUAACAGAGGAAAAUAAUUAUGAACAAAUCAACAAAAAAAAUUGUGGAAAUUUUCUUCAUCAAAGUCCUCAACUAAUUAUGUAUCAGCUCUCAACACAUCAAUAUACUUGUUGUGUAGAAGCAUGCAAGUAGCAAGAAACUUAGAACAAGUACUCGUGACCUUCGACAGUAAUCCAAAAACUUUUUGCAGGGCCAUCAUGCAGUGCAUCAAGUUCUUCUUCUUCUUCCAGUAAAUGCUCAGAGAACCUGUUGAAGCAUGAGUGAAACAAACACUUAUAAUUGAUGAUGCAUGUUCUCCCUAUCAACUUCCUCUGGAGAUGACUUCUCUUAGGGCAUCUGAUGCACAAGAAAGAAAAAUACACAUGAUGGCAAGUACCAGAGGAAAAAGACCGUUUAAUCAGUAGCAGAAAGAAUAGGAAGGCAUGCAUAGAUUCCUCAGAAGCAAUCUUACUCUCAGGCAGUCAGCAGCCUGCUCGAACCUACCUACGCAGGGAUUUCUCCAUGGAAGAACAAAGAGGGAAGUCCACUGAAGGACGGGCGGAUAGUAAAAGUGGCCGGAGGAGGUAUCCAAAAAGAUCGCAUGAUCCGAUUACUGUCAAUGAAGUAAACGUGCCUCAAGGGAUCAAUGCGAUCCCUUUGGAUGCUCCCUGCAGCCACAGUUUCUGCAAGUGAAACAAUUCAACUCCUCUCUCUCUCUAAGUAACCCAAGUCCCAGUUAGAGAAAGAAGACAAUGGGAGGCUCUCCUUGCAGUGUGGGAUACAUAUAGAGAGGAUGCACACCUCACUCUCUAGGCUCUCUUGUUUCUGAAUUGACCUAACAUGACUACAACAUUAGAAUGUCAUCAUGGUCAGGUGGAGUUUGUGAUGACCAAUGUAGGUUUGUUUUUUGUUUGGGGAUAUCUUUUCUGAUAAUUAGAAUUAGGACUCGAGUGUUAUCUUAACAUGACAAAUCAAGCAUAGAAAGCAAGUUAGAUUACAAUCAAGCAAGCUCUUUCUUGUUCACUUCAAUCACGUCACCAUUGAUUAGAUUCCCCACCAAGCUUACUACUUGUCUAACCAUUCUAUUCUCUAGAGUUCCAGUAGAGUUAAAAUAUGGAUUCUUUGAGUAGUGUGGUCCUUAACCUGUGUCCUAAGUAGCUGUUCUAGGCAUAAACUGGUGCUACCCGUGGCCUUGAUUUACUAGCUUUGUGCAGCAUAAGAAUCGUAUAAGAACAGUCCUAUCUAUCCCAUGUGUUCAGUGCACCGGUUCCUUUCAUGGUGCAUUUCUCGAUGAAAGAUCUCAUGAACAAGUUUCUUGCUGCUGUGACCAAGCUAUGCUUGUUCCUUGUCCAAAGACCGGAAGGAGAAUCUGUUGGGGAUGGAGUAGCAAACAAAAAUAUAAAAAAUAGAAUAUUAUGAUAUAAUUUUAAAAAAAUUUCAAUCAAAAAAAUCGAUAUAGUAUUUAAAUAAAGAUAAGACAUAGAAUACUUAUAAGAUAUUCCCAAGUACACACACUAUCUUGCUUCAUGAACUAUUGUCUUAUUUAUAAGACCUAGUGGUAACUAUUUUACUCUAUCAUGUCACCCAUAAUUAAGUUAGAUGUAGAAACUACUAUAUAACUUCUAGAUCAUGAGCCAUUACUUAUAAAAUGCCUACAACAUGGUAACUACCUAGAUAACUAUUGUGAAUCAAUUCUCAACACUCUCCCUUGAUUUAUAGUUACAUACACUGAUUUGAGAUAUGAAAUAAAUAUAUUUCUGAACUGAAAGCGACUUGUUGAGGAUAUUCGUAACUUGUUUAUGUGUUCCAUAAUACUUUAUUGCUAUGACUCUACUUGCUAUAAGAUCCUAGAUUAAAUGAUAGAGUAUCUCUAUAUGCUUCAUUCUUCCAUGAAAUAUUGGAUUCUUCAUCGUUGCAAUUGUGGUUUUGUUGUCACAAAAUAUUUCCGUUGCUUCUUUUUUUUUUUGAUGAAGAUCUUCAAGAAGUCUUCUAAGCUAUAUUGCUUAACAAGUUGCUGAUGUUAUGGCUAUAUAUUCUGCUUCUAAUAUCGAUAACGCAUUUGUUGCUUGCUUUUUUGAACUCGAAGAUAUAGCUCCUGAUCCGAGGCUAAAAAUAUUGCUUGAAGUACUCUUUCUAUCAUCUAAAGCUCUUGUCUAAUCACUAUUAGUGAAACCAAAUAAUCUAUAUUUAAAAUUAUAAGAAUACCAAAUACCAUAAUAUAUAGUUCGAGCAAUAUAACGUAGAAUUCUUUUAACAACUCCGAGGUGAUAUUUGCUUAGGCUAUACAUAAACUUGGAUACUACACCAACAAAUAUGGUAAUAUCUAAUCGAGUAUGAGUUAGAUAAAUCAAAUAUCUAACCAAACUUCUAUAGUAUCUUUCAUUUGUCAAACAUAUACCAUUUUCAAGUUUUAAUUUCUCGUUUAGUGUUGUCGUAACUUUAUAAUUAAUCAUGUUAGAUUUUUUGAGUAGAUCCAUUGCAUACUUUCUUUGUGAAAUAAAAUUUUCAUCUGAUCCUUGCUUCACUUCCAACCUAAUAAAAUAAUAUAGUAAACCUAGAUCUAACAUGUCAAACUUAUUCAUCAUGUAUUUUUUAAAUUCUACCGAGUUAGAUGAACCCAUAUAUAAUAUAAUCAAUAUAAAGGUGAUUAUGUUCACAUUUCUUCUUUAGAUAAAAAGUAGGUUUAUUAUUGCUAUUUUAAAAUCUAUUUUGAUAAAAAUAAUAAUUAAUUUUACUAUACCAUACCCUUGGAGCUUAAGCUCAUAAAAAGCUUUCUUUAGCUUAUACACCUUUUCUUCUAUUCCUUUAACCAAAAAACCUUCUGGUUGAAUAACAAAAAUCUCUUCGUAUAAAUUUUUAUUUAAAAACAUAGAUUUCAUAUCAAAUUGAUAAAUAUGACAACUUAAGUGAGCAAAAAAAAAUAUUUUCAAAAUCAAUACCUUACUAUUGUAAAUAUCCUUUUGCUACAAUUCAAGCCUUAUACUUUUAGAUACUUCCAUCUGCAUUAAACUUUGUUUUUAACACCCAUUUUAAUCUAAUAGCUUUCUUUUCUUUUGGUAGAUCUAUUAGCUCCCAAGUAUCAUUCUUCUCGAUUGACUUGAUUUUCUCCUUCAUUGCUUUUUGGCAUUCCCCUUUUUCAACUAUUUUCUCCAAAGUUAUAGGAUCUAAAAUAAACAAAGCAAAUGUUGAGUUAUAAAUUUCUGUUAGUGAUCUGAAUUUUUCUGGAGGGGUAUCAGAAUUUGAACUACUAUUACGUGAGGUUGAUGAUGAACUCAUUGGAGUCGGAUCUGUCACUUGAUUUUGUAGAGUGUUUAGUUCUGCUGGAAUAACUGAUAUACUUUAGAUUAUAAGGAAUAACUAAUUAAGAUAUAUUUUUUAGAUUUUUCAUUAAGCUUGUAUUAGUUUAUGAAUUUACCAAAGCAUAAGCAAUACAACAAAAAAUUCUUAGAUGCUUUACACUUUGUUUCAUACUAUACCAAGCCUCAAAAGGAGUUUGAUUCAUAAUAACCUUUGUUAGUAAAAUAUUUAAUAAAUAAACUACUAUUGCCACUGCUUUUGCCCAAAACUGAUUUAGAAGGUAUUUUUCUUUAAGCAAACUUCUUGUUAUUUCAACGAUAAUUUGAUUCUUAAGUUUAGCUAUAUUAUUUUGCUCCGGUGUAUAAGGUGUUGGGUUCUUUUUAACAUAUCAAAUAUGGAUUAAACAAUUGUUUUAUAGAAUCAAAACCUUCAUCUUUGAUUCAAAAACAUACUUUAUAGAUCCAAAAUAAUGGAUUAAGAAUGUUUCCAUAAAACUUAUUUAAUCCACUAUAAUAUGCAUGAAAUCCUACAACAAUUGAUAAACAUAUUAACACGGAAGCGUACCUGAUGAAUCCAUUAGAGUAUUUUCUGAAUUGAUCGGUGAUUUGGUCUUGCNNNNNNNNNNNNNNNNNNNNNNNNNNNNNNNNNNNNNNNNNNNNNNNNNNNNNNNNNNNNNNNNNNNNNNNNNNNNNNNNNNNNNNNNNNNNNNNNNNNNNNNNNNNNNNNNNNNNNNNNNNNNNNNNNNNNNNNNNNNNNNNNNNNNNNNNNNNNNNNNNNNNNNNNNNNNNNNNNNNNNNNNNNNNNNNNNNNNNNNNNNNNNNNNNNNNNNNNNNNNNNNNNNNNNNNNNNNNNNNNNNNNNNNNNNNNNNNNNNNNNNNNNNNNNNNNNNNNNNNNNNNNNNNNNNNNNNNNNNNNNNNNNNNNNNNNNNNNNNNNNNNNNNNNNNNNNNNNNNNNNNNNNNNNNNNNNNNNNNNNNNNNNNNNNNNNNNNNNNNNNNNNNNNNNNNNNNNNNNNNNNNNNNNNNNNNNNNNNNNNNNNNNNNNNNNNNNNNNNNNNNNNNNNNNNNNNNNNNNNNNNNNNNNNNNNNNNNNNNNNNNNNNNNNNNNNNNNNNNNNNNNNNNNNNNNNNNAACAUAAGGUACUAUCAAUUCUCUAUGAAUACUAUUUUCUUUAUAAAAAAAAUUAAACUCAUUAGAUAAAAAAUUAUUAUCUCUAUCUCAAAUGUCUUUAUGUAUCUACCACUUUACCUUUCUACAAGUGCAUUGAAUUUUUAAAAAUUAUCAAAUAUUUUAGAUUUCAGUUCUAGAAAAUAUAUCGAACUCAUGCGACUAUAAUCAUUAUUAAAUAAUAAAAAAUAUUGACUUUAACCAAAUAAUUUUGUAUUCAUAGGUCCACAUAAGUUAGCAUGAAUUAAUUCAAAACAAUUAGAUGCUCUUCAUAUUUUUCCCACAAGAAAUUAUUUUUUAUUUUAUUUACCAUAAAUACAUUCUUUGUAUACAUUAAGUGUAUUAAUUUUACGUAAUCCAAAAAUUAUUAUUUUUAUUUAAUAACCUUAAACUCUAAAUGUUAAGGUAUUCAUAUUUUAAAUGUCAUAAAUUAGACUCAUUCUUUUGAGUUGCUAUAAGAGCAUACUUUUCAAUAUUUGAAACAUCAAGUGGAAAUAUCUUGUUUUGCGUCAUGCAAACAUUUACUGUAGCUAAACCAGAUUUUUUUUUAUCUUUAAUAGUGCAUGAACCAUCAUCAAAUAUAAUUAAAUAUUCAUCAUCUAUCAAUUGUCCAAUACUCAAUAAGAUAUGUAAUAAACUAGGAACCAAGAAAAUAUUAUUAAGGUGUUUUACCUUCCUUUGACUUGUCUUCACCUCAAUUGUUCUUUUUCCUUUCACUUGGAUUUGCUUAUUAUCUCAGAGUCUAACUUUUAAUUUAUGAGUUUUAUUAAUAUAUCUAAAUAUUGAUCUUAUUCUUGACAUAUGAUUAGAAUAUUCAUUAUCCAAAAAUCAAAUAUCAUUUGAGAUAUCAUUAACUUGUGAAUUAGUUAUAAAUAACUUACUAUUUUCUUCAAUUUUUUUCCACAAAGCUUAUUUGUUUUUUUCUUUUCCAGCAAUCUAUCUUCGUGUGACCAAUUUUUUUAUAAUAGUGAUAUUGAAUUCCACUUUUAUAGUUUUUUUUUAUCAUAAUUUGAUUGAUUUUGUUCAUUAUGCCCAUUAAAGUGUUCUCUUCCUCUUUCUCUUUCAUUUCCUCUGCUAUUAAAUCCUCCUUUGUCACGCCAUCUACUUAUUGAUUUUUUGCCUUCUUUUUCUCCCUUAACCUAAAAUGCUUUUUUUUCACUUUUCUCAAUUGACUUGUUCAGUCUUGCUUCAUGUGCUUAAAAAGAAUCUAUUAGUUCAUCAAAUGAAAAUAUAGAUAAUUUUUUUGACUCAUCGAUUGCGGCAACAACAUGAUUAAAUUUCAAAAUUAAACUUCUCAAAACUUUUGUAAUAAUUAUAUGAUCAGGAAGAAGUUCGCCAUAAUAUUUCAUUUGACUAAUAAUUUCAAUCACUCGAGAAAAAAAUUUUGUAUCGAUUCAUUAUUUUUCAUGAAUAAAAUUUAAAACUCACGAUGAAGGGUCUGAAGUUUUACCAUAAUCACCCUUGAUGAGCCUUGAAAUUCAUUUUGAAAUAUCAACCAAACUUAUUUUAAGGUUGUCGCUGUUACAAUUCUUGAGAAAAUUGUCUUAUGUACAACUUGUUGAAUGAAGAACAAUGUCUUUGAGUCAUUCUUUCUAUUUUUCUUCAACUUGGUUUCUUCAUCUGGAUCUACAUAUCCAUUCUCUAUUAAGUCCCAAAGAUCUUGAGACUUGAAUAGAGUCUUCAUCUUGAUACUCCAAAAUUCAUAGUAUUUGUCCGAAAAGAUGAAAAUACAAGGUUACAACAUGGAAUUAUCAUUGAAAGCCAUAAUGCCCAGUUCAUAUUGAAACUUAGCUCUGAUACCACAAAUGUUAAGGAUGAAAUAGUAAGGAAACGAUAAAAAAUAGAAUACUAUGAUGUAAUUAAAAAAAUUCUUUCAAUCCAGAAAAUCGAUAUAGUAUUUAAACAAGAGAUGAGACAUAGAAUACUUAUAAGAUAUUUCCAAGUGCACAUACACUAUCUUGUUUCAUGAACUAUGAUCAUAUUUAUAGGAUCUAGUGGUAACUACCUCACUCCAUCAUGUCACCCAUGAUUAAGUUACGUAUAGGAACUAUCUUAUAAUGUCACCCAUGAUUAAGGAUGGAAUAGCAAAGAAACGAUAAAAAAUAGAAUACUAUGAUGCAAUUAAAAAAAAUACUUUCAAUCUAGAAAAUCGAUAUAGUAUUUAAACAAGAGAUAAAACAUAGAACACUUAUAAGAUAUUUCCAAGUGCACAUAUACUAUCUUGUUUCAUGAACUAUGAUCAUAUUUAUAGGAUCUAGUGAUAACUAUCUCACUCCAUUAUGUCACCCAUGAUUAAGUUACGUAUAGGAACUAUCUUAUAAUGUCACCCAUGAUUAAGUUAUGUAUAAGAACUAUCUUAUAACUUUUAGAUCAUAGAUCAUUAUUUAAAAUAUAAUAAUUAUAUAAAAUAUGAUAACUAUCUACGUAUAACUAUCAUAACUCAGCAGGGCGCAUGAGAAAGGAACAUCCAAUCUGGCAGCAGGUUUACUAAACUUUGUCGGAGUAGGAGCAGAAUAUAGGGUGGUGGCGUUGGGUGUGGGAGAGAGGUGAUGUGAAGUGGAGGAUUCAUGGUACACUCAGUCAUCCCAUCAAGAGGGCCACAUCCGUCAGGCAGUGGUUCUACCUUUAGUGAACAUAAGAUAUGUCACCCAACUUUGUCAGCGCCAGCAGUAUCUUCUUCCUCAGACCGGAGAGUACCGCUGCCAUGCCAUGUUUUCGCUUCUCCACGAGGUCGAGGAUCCACCGCUUCCUUAUCCUUGCCUCACAUGUCGAGCAUCCAUAUGUGCUUGCCAGAAGACCGUGAGGUGUCGCUCCCAGAUGCCCAAACUAGUAGUGGGCUUUUUGCCAUUAUUUUGCAGGACCAUCAUCAGUCACCAUGACCGCCUCCUCUCUUCCAACACCAUACUUGCGAUGCCAGUAAAUGGAGUUACGGGGACAGCCGUAAACCACGGAGAAAGGGACUCCUCCCGUGCGUCGUUGAUGCUUCUGCUCCAAUGACUUCGUUCCCACUCAAUACUGCAUGGCCCACACGCCCAUGGAUGCUCUCGCAAUUUGACUCGAGGGCAUCUCUUUCGCCAUGGAUGCUCUCAUCCCUGCACGAAAGAGGCAAGAAAACGAGAGCGCACUGAAAGACAAGGCUUGCAGGAUGCUUUUUAGAUUACCAUUUCCGCUUCAACAAGGUCGAGCCGUGCACUCCAUCCACAUUACCCCCCACUGCUUGUCCACACACACUCUCAUGGACGACGACCCUUCCAUCCUGUCUCAUGACAUUGAUGUAAUUUUUAUUUAUUAUUUAUCAUUAUAAACUAUAUAUAUAUAUUCUGAAAUAGACUAAGUAUCACCGGGCGACGAGACGAGGAAGAAAUGGAAGGAAUCGGCGAACCCAUGUCUCCAGAUAGACCGACCUGCCGGCCCAUGUUAAUAUAGCUGGGCCGGAUGAACUAAUGUGAUCCAACCCACCAACCGUAAUCUAAUCGAUCGAUGGUUGACUUUUGGAAGGUUGAAACGCGUCGGUUAUAUCCAGAAUGGAUUACGUUACAUGCAACACUUUAUUUCUCUUUACAGUUGAAGCAGCAGUUGGUCCUCACUCUUCCUUCUUCGUUUCCUCUGUCUCAGAAGAUAAACUCUUCUCGUAGAUGAACUGAGCGACUAAGCCCGCAAAUAUCAAGCCCAGCGCAGCGACUUUUCGCCAUUCCACCUCCGGAGUGACGACGACAGCGUUGGCAAUGGUGAAGCCCAGCACGGUCAUCAGCGCAAGGUAUAUGUUGCUUCGCACCUUCAAACCUGCGUUUCUCCUCGUGGCUUCCUCCAGCUUUUGCGCUUCCAUCUUGGCUUUCAUCUUCGCUCCCGCUUCCUUGUCUUUGGGUGCAGGUCGUUUCUCCUUCAGGUUCUUGAAGAACAAGCCCUCGUUCCGGUCCCUCUCGAUUUGGUCUUCGAACUCCUCCAACACCCGGUCGUUCUUCUCGAUCUCCUGCCUGUUCACCUCCGCGGCUUCCUCGAACGCCUGCGCCCGGUUCUCCAGCUUCUCCAUGAUC